ACAGUUUGCAAAGAUCCAAAGUUCAUUUAUUCACAAAUCUUAAAUUUCCUUUUAUAUGCCUAUUAUUAUUCACUUGUUUACACUGAUCACCAACUUACAAUCAAAAUCAAAUCAUUCAACCUUCCAAAUGAUACAUCAUCCAUAAGAAUUCAAGCCUCGGUACCAUGUAGGUCAAGGAAUAUUGCGCCAUAGCACAAAUUAUCAGGCACCGGAAUGAGUAACUGCUGUGCUGUUCAUAUAACCAGCCCUGUCAUGGGUUUAUGGUGAAUAAGUAUGUAAAACAACCCGAGUUUUUGGCCAUUCAUAAAUCCUCUCCACUAAGAUCUCCCCAUCGAACAUUGUGCUUGGCAGCAAGAUAAUGUGCUCCAACUGGUCCUCGGCUACCAUAAGGAUAGAGCUCUAGAACAAUCUUCCAGUUCCUUCAGUAAUGGUGUAAACAACGCCCAGGCAGCAUCAAGCUCAUCACUCCGAAUAAACAACCUCCGUUCACCUUCUAUUGCAUCUAAGACCAGCCUCUCAUAUGCAUCUGGUAUUUCUGUUGGAUACCUUCACAUCAAAACUAAAGAAUUAAAGUAAUGCUCUCCAAAACCAGAAGAAGAACAAAAGAUAAUACAGAUGCACAUUUGCUCCAUCAAUUUGGCCAGGUCUGCAGAUGGAUGUUACUAAGGUAAAAUGGCCAGGACAUGAGAUUAAUACAGUCCCCUUACUUUUAAUAUUAAUUAGGAUUUUAUACAAAUUCUUUUAAAAUAAAACAUUAAAGAAUUCAAUCCUUACAUGAGCUAUAAAAUAAUUACGAAACAUGAAUAAAGACGUCCCAAGGCUUAUCGCUUGAGAAGAUUUUAUGAAAUUGAUGCUCACAGCCCCACUCCACAAUUGAGUAUUCUAGUUCAUAUAUUACAUAGUGAAGAUUGCAAGUAUCAUUUGUAGGUAACUGUCUAAAUAGUCCUUACCUUGAUCGAUAAAGCAAAUUAAGGUCGCUGCGAUCCAAUCUCAUUCCAAGACCAGGAACUUUGUUGUUGAUCUUCAGGUAUAUGGCUUCACCAGGCUGGAGCCGGAGCACAAGCUCAUUUGUAGCCUUGUCUAAGUCAGUUCCAAAAUUCCGCUUGUACAGUUUUCCAGGGACAUGUCUGAACUGAACUCUGAUCUCUGCACUGAAGUUUCAUUGACACAACAUUCUCAAGUCAACCAGUUAAGCAUAUUCUACAAUAUAUAGUGAAAGAAUAGAUCCUUAUGAAAAGGGAAGAAAUACUGCCUACCGUUUGGUAUGGAGCGCUUUGCCUGCUUUCAUCAGGAAAGGAACCCCAUCCCAUCUUGCAUUGUUGAUAAAAAGAGCAGCCGCGGCAAAUGUUGGCGUGAGACUACCCUUUGGCACAGUUGGGUCAUCAGUAUAUGCAGGAUAUGAUUUACUACCCUUGUUGUGGCCCUUGUAUUGACCAAUAAUUACAUUUUCAAGCAGAAGCAGUUGCAUUGAUCUAAGAACCUUCACCUGAAUGAAGCCACACACAACAAAGUUAAUGAUUAACUUAAAACAAUAGCAAGGAGUGUAGCAUUUCCAUAACCCACCAUGGGAUUUGAUUCUUCUUUGGUGGUGAUGGUGGUGUGUGGCUAUACCUUAAAAUAGGAUCUCUAGCAAUCAUAGAAAUGGUACACCAAGAAGAACAGGAGACCACAAUUCCGGUUCGUAAAAUUUGUAGAAGAAAGGAAGACCGAAUUACCUUUUCAUUUCUAAUGUCUUCCGCAUCUAAGCUGACGGGAGUCUCCAUUGCAAAUAAUGCCAGUAUUUACGAGAGAUGAUUUUGCAUUAUAUCUCGUAUGAUUCCAUAGUUAUCAAAAUAACUGGAAAAAUUUACCAAUAAAAUCAGCUGACCUGGGUGUCUGAAACAACUUCUAGUAUAAUAACAAUAUCUUCAGGCAACAUAUACAACUCACCCCCCUCGUCCCUCUGUACCAAAAUCUUCAGAAAAUAUAAAUUGUACAUUGCGGAUGUAAUUCCUGGACCAUAGAGGCUCGAAAACAAGAUUGGAGAAUCGAAGCACUAAUAGAUUCUCAACCAACUCCUUACCCAAGUAAUGGUCAAUCCUGAAAAGAUGUCAAUAGAGUCAAACAUCAUCACGCAUCUUUCUUUAAGGAAACAAAUGAGAGACAAACCUGAAUAUUUGAUCCUCUUUUAGAUACUGCUUCAAACUUCUAGUUAACUCGCCAUAAGACUCAGAGUCCCGACCAAAUGGUUUUUCAACAAUGACUCUUGUCCAACCAGUUGCUGAUGAAGCUCUAAGGCUAGCACAUUUCGCCACAUCCACAAAAAUGUUUGGAGGUAUUGAUAAGUAAAACAACCUGUUCGAUAGCUUUCCAGCCUAAAAUUCCAUUUUCUUACAUUGGGUUAAAAAAAUAAAACUAAAAUAAACAAACACCAAAUUUCACACAGGGAGCUAGUAACUAGCUUCCUAAAUAUGAAUCUAUUUUACAAUUAGUGAAACAAUAAGAAAUAUGUCAGUUACUUGGUCCAUUUGCGGAGCAGAACUCCUCACGAACCGAGUAAUAGUUUUUAUUUGGAUUCAAUACAUUUACCAGAGACUUACAUUUACUAACAAGAUUUUACCUACACCUUCUCUCUAUUACCCUCCUCCUAGAAUUAGGGAGUAUGGAAAACUUCACUGCAAUUAAAUAACCAUUUAAUAACCCAUGAUAUCAAAGGGGCACGGAAACAAAAUCCCACCAAUAGAUGGUUAAUGAAAUGUUCUGUUAGUUCAAGGAUCCUAUGGAAAGCUCCGAAAACCUCGGACGCGAAGGAAACCUCGGACGUGAAGGAAACCCUAUCUCCGGAGGUAUUUUUCCCCCGCCGUUUAGGGAGGCUAGAACGACUAAAAAAGCGAGGUUUCGCGAUGAGGAACAUGCUGGUGAUCCCACUGCCCAGGUAUCGUACAAAGAAACCCUAGUGAAUGCGACGCAAGUGAUGGAGCAAGGAGUUGGAGGUGGACUAGAUGACUGGGAUUUUGAGGAAGGGGACGUUACUGAAAGUAACGAGGGAUCCAUGCCAUCCAUUACUUUUUCGGCUAGGGUUCAUGCUAAGUUAAGUGAGCCUUGGAAGAACUCGGUUGUUGUAAAGUUGCUUGGCCGCACAAUUGGCUAUAGAGCCCUUUGUGCAAGAUUGAAUGACAUGUGGAAAUCAGCCAUGGGGUUUUCAGUGAUAGACUUAGAGAAUAACUAUUAUCUGGUUCGGUUUCGCUCGGUAGGGGAUGCUAUGGAUGCAUUAACCAAGGGGCCGUGGCUUGUCAUGGGUCACUAUUUAACGGUGCAGCCAUGGACGCCCUCCUUUGACUUCACAAACACGGCUCUUGAACAGGUCACGAUGUGGAUCAGAUUACCUGGCCUUGCUGUUCAUCUUUACGAUCGAAAAGUUCUUCAAAAGCUGGGUCAAUUAGUGGGGAACGUGAUUACAAUCGAUUCGAAUACAGCCUCUUCAUCUCGUGGAAGAUUUGCCCGCCUUGCAGUGAGUAUCUCUUUAACUAGGCCACUGGUGUCUCAGUUUGAGUUGGAUGGGAAGAUACAGAAGGUUGAAUAUGAGGGCUUGCCAGUAAUUUGUUAUAAGUGUGGACUUUACGGGCACAGUAGUAGUAAUUGCAAAGAUGCUAAGAACUCAACAAACUCUGAAGAAGCUGGUCAAUCCCAUCAGGCAAUGCCGGGAAACGAGGCUCCUGGCCAACAGGCUGAAGGUUGUAAUGGCGACAGCACUGUGGAACCAUUUGGUCCCUGGAUGAUGGCUCCUAGGAGAGGAAGAAAGCCUAAUAAUGGAAGGGUGAAUACUGGAGACUUAAAUCGGAAUAGGGAGUUUACUAGAGCUGGUACCUCAAGGUAUCACAUUCUAUCCCAAGUCCCGGAUGAAGGUGGACACCAAGUGCAGGAGGCUUGCACAGACUUCCCCUCCACCUCACGGCAGCCUUUCAUAUCCGCCUCAAACCCUACAUUUACAGCCAAAACAGAUAACACAGUACAUAUUUUAGCUCGUCGAAAGCUGCAAAAUAAGACCGUGGUAAUAAGGAAUCAGAGCAGAAAGCUAAAUGCUCCAGUGGUCCAUACUAGUAACCCUUUCCAGCCUAGUGAUUUAAGUAUCAGAGAUGAGGAUAUAACUCUCUUACCCCAUGCCAACCAAAAAUCCAAUUCACACAGUUUCCCCCAAAAAGUACCUAGCAACCAAUGUGUGGUUUCUUUCGAAUCCACCUUGGAUCCUACUAAACACACAGUGGUUUUUUGUUCUCCCCCAACACUCCUUAAUGGAGAUGUAAGGGAAGUGGCCACGGACCAUAUAGAGAGGCAGGGAUCGGAUCCGCAACCCUUAGCAGAUCCUCCUGAUAACCAUAACACUUCUCGGGUGAAGGAAGGUGGUCAUGUUUGUAACCAUCCAGAUGUUCCUAUGAGUGGUAUGGAUGGAGAUGGGAUGACUGAUGAUGAAAUUUCGAUGGUUCAGGAAACGCCGUUGGCAUUGAUGGAUGAUGUCUUUGGACAACAACAGUAGCCUCAUGUUUUCUCUUCUUAUAUUUUUUAUGACAGUCAGUAUUAUGUUCUGGAAUGUCCAAGGGGCAGCCUCGGGGGAAUUUAGGCGCUCGUUUAGGACUAUUAUUAAAAAUUACAACCCAUCGAUGGUGGUGUUAAUGGAACCUCGUACUAGUGGGGUGAAAGCCGAUGAAUUUAUAAAGAAAAAUGGAUUUGAUUACUCGCACCGGGUGGAAGCUGUGGGUUUCUCUGGAGGAAUUUGGCUACUUUGGCGAAGUUCUAUAGAGGUGGAGGUCUCAAUUAAUCACAGGCAGUUCAUCCAUUUUAAAAUUUGCAGGAACAAUGUUUUUGUGUCUUGGGUAACGACUGUCUAUGCCAGUCCAAACCCAAUGUUGCGGAGACAGCUGUGGUGCCAUAUGGAGAACCUUGCGCCUUUAAUUCAAGAGCCUUGGUUGAUAGGUGGGGAUUUCAACUCUAUCUUAUACGCCUCAGAAAAGCAAGGGGGUGUGGCCAGGAACUCAGGAGUGUGUAAUCUGUUUCGAAAGUGGUUUGAUGGGCAUCAACUUUUUGACUUGAAAUUUAAGGGUCCAAGGUUUACUUGGUCACGUGGAUUGCUUUUUAAAAGGCUUGAUAGAGCUUUGUGUAACAGUGAAUGGCUGCUUAAAUAUAUGAAUAAUUAUGUGCUCCAUCUCCCGAAGAUUGCCUCGGAUUACAGGCCGGUGCUGGUUCGGUUUGAGAGAGAUGUGGCUGGCCACCAGAGGACCAGGCCUUUCCGCUUCUUGGCUGCUUGGUUAACUCAUGAGCAUUUCAACAAUUUUGUUAAGCGGAUGUGGAAUCCGCAAACCUACUAUAGUGCAGCAGCUUCUCAUUUUGUUCAGGAGGUUCAAGUUUGGAAUCGAGAUGUGUUUGGGAAUAUCUUUCAGAGGAAACGCCGGCUUAUGGCUCGGAUUAAUGGAAUUCAAGCCACCCUAGAGAAAUAUAGCUCUCGUAGUUUGAGGCGAUUGGAGGCCCGAUUGCGUAAUUAGCUCGAAAUGGUGAUGAGCCAGGAGGAAAUUCUGUGGCUCCAGAAAUCUCGAAAGGAUUGGCUUUUACAUGGAGACAGAAAUACGAAUUUUUUCCAUAAAAAAACUAUUGCUCGAAGGCGGCGGAAUAGAAUCGAGGCUAUCCGAGACAGUUCGGGGAAUUGGCUGUAUGAUGAGGAAGAUAUAAAGAGGCAUGCAGUGGGGUAUUUUUCAGAAUUAUUUAAAAGAGAAAAUUCUAUUUAUCAGAACUACCAUGUGCCAAAUUUUUUUCCAGACUUGAGUUCUCAUGACGUUGAUGGUGCCGCAGCCCCAAUUUUGAGGGAGGAGAUUAAAAGUGCCGUUUUUAGUAUGAAGCCGCUGAAAGCUCCAGGUACGGAUGGGUUGCAUGCUAUUUUUUAUCAAUCCCAAUGGUAUGUUGUGGGUCCGUCGUUUUGCAGGUUUAUUGAUGAUAUUUUUACCACGGGCAAAGUGCCGCAAGAGAUAAAUACUACCCUCCUGGUUUUGAUUCCAAAAGAGGAGCACCCUACUAGCUUAAAGAUGUUUAGGCCCAUAAGCUUAUGCACAGUGGUUUACAAGACGGUGACUAAAAUUAUAGCCACUCGCUUGCAAUCGCUGCUGCCCAAUCUAAUAGGCCCCAAUUAGACAAGUUUUGUUCCAGGGAGACAUAUCGUAGAUAAUAUUGUUGUGGCUUAGGAAGUCGUUCACUCAAUGCGCAGAAAAACUGGCAGGAAAGGAUUUAUGGCCAUUAAGGUCGACUUAGAGAAGGCGUAUGACCGGCUUAAUUGGGAUUUCAUUUUUGAUACGCUUCAACAGACUGGUAUUCCAACUCAUUUAUCUAGACUUAUCAUGGAAUGCGUAACUUCAGCUAGUAUGAGUAUUUUGUGGAAUGGUGAGGUUACAAGGACCUUUACUCCAGGGAGAGGUAUUCGUCAGGGAGAUCCCCUCUCGCCUUAUCUUUUUGUUCUGUGUAUCGAGCGUUUGAGUCAUGGGAUAACCCAAGCGGUAAUGGAUGGGAGAUGGAGGCCUAUUAGGUUGGCCAAAUAUGGAACUCCCUUAACUCAUCUCUUUUUUGCAGAUGAUUUGCUUUUAUUUGUGGAAGCUUCAAUUGACCAAGCUUAUGUGGUUGAUGCUGUUCUGGAAAACUAUUGUAGGAGCUCUGAAGCAAAAAUAAAUAAGUUGAAAACCAAGGUGUUCUUCUCAAAAAAAUGUUGAUACUCGGGAUGCCAAUCUCAUAGGCUCUACUUUGGGUUUUUCGGCCACAAAUAAUUUGGGUGAUUAUCUUGGAAUGCCAUUAAUUCACACGCGGGUUAAUAAAUCCACGUAUCAGUCCAUCCUUGAUAAAGUGGAUAAGCGGCUUACUGGUUGGAAUGCGGCUCAUCUCUCUUUUGCUGGACGUGUCACCCUGGCUCAAUCAGUUCUGUAAGCAAUGCCUAUUUAUGCCAUGCAAACGACUUUUCUUCCUUCUCCAGUGAGGCAUAAAAUAGACAAAUCUUGUCGGCGAUUUAUUUGGGAUGGGAAUUCAAAGAGUCCUAAGAUGAGUAUGGUGGGGUGGAGCAAAAUCUGCAUGCCGAAACAAUAUGGAGGUCUGGGGUUCAAAAAAAUGGACGAGAUGAACCAGGUGCUGAUAAUGAAAUUGAGCUGGGAGAUUGUGUCCAACUCGGAUAAAUUGUGGGUGAAAGUUUUCUGUUCCAAAUAUGGAUUAAAUUCCAGCAAUUUACCGAUGUCCCUUCCAGAUAAACCGGGUUCUCAGAUUUGGAGAGCUAUUCGUAGCACGUGGUUAACAACAGUUCAGGGUGCUCGCUGGUCUGUUUGUGAUGGAAGUCGAGCUCGCUUUUGGAUAGAUUGUUGGGCUACGAAAUAUCUCUUGAUCAGCCUAGCUCUCCAGCCGAUUCCUCAAGAGCUUAUCAACACCACCGUGAGUGAGUUUACGAAUGGUCAGGGGGGAUGGAAUUGGUCGAGCUUUGAGCAUUUGCUGCCACAUUAUACUCUCAUGCAGAUCGCAUCAGUCAUGCCUCCGGGACUGCAUUUUGGGUCUGACAAAAUUUACUGGGGUCUGGAUCCGAGCGGCAUGUUUACGGUUCGUUCAGCUUAUGCAUCCCUUUGCUAUCAUCACUUGGCUGAUCAUGACAGAAUUUGGAAGCUUCCAUGGAGUUGGAAGGGGCCUCAAUCCAUCCGUCUUUUUCUGUGGCAGCUGAUGCAUGGGAAAUUAAAGACUCAUGUUGAGCUAGCUAGGCGCCAUAUCAAUGUUCCUGAGGGCUGUGAUAGAUGUGGGGGUGCGGUUGAAGAUAUUCUCCAUGCAUUGAGAGAUUGCUGCUGUAUUAAUCAGGUUUGGCGUAAGCUUGUCCCAAUGGCAACUCAUAACGCUUUCUUCAAUUCGAAUCUACGUGAAUGGAUUGCUGGGAACUUGCAGAACAAAUGAAAGAUUGCAUCUUCCCUCCCUUGGGAUUGUAUCUUUGGAGUGGUGGUUUGGAGGCUGUGGUUCUGGAGGAACCACUUCUCUUUUGCGGGGAAGUUGGUGGAUGGUGUAACAGUCUAUAUGGAUGCUAUGGCUAGAGCUAAUGAAAUUUACAAAGUUUAGAAUUCCGGUAUAAGUCAACAGCCGAGGAGAAAGGAGAUUUUUAUUCGUUGGAUGCCGCCGCCAUGGCCAUGGUGCAAAUUAAAUUCAGAUGGCUCUCGUAAAAAUGACGGGGAAGCAGGAGCAGGAGGUGUCAUUUGAGACUCAGUCGGUCAUUGGAUUUCCGAAUUUUGUAUGAGAAUUGGGGAGAGUUCAGUGCUUAUGGCUGAGCUUUGGAGGCUGUACCAGGGUCUAAUUCUGGCUUGGGAUGUAGGCAUAAAACGGCUGUUGGUGGAAGUGGAUAGUCUUUGUGUUACACAAAUAAUCUCUAAGCAGGUGGUCGUUCCUAAUGUGUUCCAUGCUUUAAUAGUAGCUGUCCAGGAAUUAUUAAGUAGAAAUUGGCAGAUUGCUAUCACCCAUAUCUAUCGAGAAGCUAACUCAGCUGCGGACUUCAUGGCUAAUAUGGCUCAUUCAGCUCCUCUUGGAUUGCAAGUGUUCUCUGACCCUCCUAUGGGUAUAUAUUCUAUCAUUUCGCAAGACUUGUUUGGGGUUACUCAACCCCGUUUUGUUUCUGUUUAGCUCGUUUUGACGAGCCCCCUCUCACCAAAAAAAAAAAAAUAACCAUUUAAUACCCCAUGAUAUCAAAGGGGCACGGAAACAAAAUCCCACCAAUAGAUGGUUAAUGAAAUGUUCCGUUAGUUCAAGGAUUCAAUGGCUCCACUGCUACCAAAAAUUGCGGGUGAAGUAAUUCAUGAAGGGAAAACUCUAAAUAAAGGGACUUUUAAUUUUAAUGAAGGAAAUGAGGAUUUAUUCAACUACACCAUUAAUCUGUGAGUUGAAUUAAGAGCAUUUUAUUAUACUUUAUUGUUAGAAAUUAAUAUUAAAGCCCUUUAAUCUGAUUCAUGCGUCAGAGGUUUCUUGCUGGCAAUAAUGCCAGGCCCCCGACAAUUUCUCCAUUACAAAACGAGAUCAGAGUCAUCAAUGGAUAGACGGCAAUUAACAUCGAUUAGCAGAGUACCAGUUUCCCACAAAUAUAAAUCUGCUUGUUGAAGCCAAAAUUUGAUAUCAACAUCUCUUGCCUUCCUUGUAAUAUUUUAUUGUAUCUCAAGGCUUAAGUAUCCGUUCACAAGGCUAAAAGAAAAAGAAAGUGAAGACGAUCCUGAAUUGCUUUGAUUCAUCAUGUUUCGUGGCUCUGAUACCAUAUUAGAAUUCGUAAUGAGAUGUUUGGAAACAAAGAAAAACAGAGAAAAUAAAAAGGAAACUUCUAGAUUUUAUUAACCAGAAUAUUCAAUACUAAUUAAGCUUACUUAGCUAAGCUUAUAUACAAUUAUUCUAACUAAUUAAACAACUUCAAACCAACUAAUAACAACUUCAGAUUUAGUUUAGCCAUUGAGCUCUUGCCACAUGUCAUUAAGUUACAUUCAAUUUUGACACAUCAGUCAGCUCUGUCCAGCAGCAACUAUAUCUUCAACAAGAAUCUAUGACUCCAAAGUUCCUAUAAAACUAUAAAUUUCUUAAAGGUAAAGAAGUAAUUAGUUACCUCUUUCUCUUUCAGUCUGCCGUCUAAUUCUGCAAAAUGCUCAUCAGAGCUGUACAGACCGGAAUGGUAAAAGCAUCUCUUCAAGAACUGAUCCAUUUUGUCUUCACAAUUUUCCCUGUAAGUUCCCUCAACUAUUACUAUAUACAAAACUCAGUGCAUAGUCUGCUAAAAAGUACAUGUGAGGGUUUCAGAAAAUUACAUACUUCUUAUCAAUUCUACAAGUUAAAGUUUUGCUAAUCACGUUCCUCAGCUCCUCAUCAGUCAAUUUAGUCCGAGCAUAACCAAACACUGUAAAAUCCUGCAUAAGGAUGAUAAAUGGAAGAAAAAAUGAAAACUUAUCAGCUAUUGAGCAUUCAUCACGGUUGUUGAAAAAGUGAAAUUAGUGAAGCAACAAAGCAUAGAACCUCAGGCAGACAAUCUUCAUAGUAUAGUGCGAAAAGUGCGGGAAAAAUCUUCUUCUUUACGAGGUCCCCUGAGGCUCCAACAACUGUUAUGCUGAGUGUAGAACCCGAUUUUUCAGAUGAUGCCGGAACGGAGGCCUCUGUCUCUUGAGGCUCGAAAUGAUCGUUUGGCCAGAGGUUUUCCAGCUAAAUCUAAACUCAAAAUUGCAGCUAGAAAUCAGCAAUGAGAAACAAAACUGAUAUGCUGAAGACAAAAUAUAAUCAUUGCAAAUAAUUAUGAUUAUAUCAAUGAGUGGACAAGUUGAUAAACUCUCUUUCCAAAAAGAAAUUUUCUUCAUAUGCAAAUUCAUUUGGCAAUUGUCGAAAACAGGAAAAAUCUUUUUUUUUGUUAAAUAAGAAAUUCAUUUUGGACACAGUUUAUGAAUAAGCAAUUGAAUGAGAAUUAAAACCCAUUUGAUACUGAUUCGGCGUAAAAGACUACAAUAGAGGAACCAGUAUCUCACUAUCUUGUAAAGAAACAGUAUUGAGAGGAUGCCCAUUAGAGGAUUUAAGCUGAAAAUGCUUUCUAGCAUGGAUUCUUGACUGAACUUGAGAUACCCAAGUGGAGAAAAAAUAUUUUCUUGGGACAACAAUGAAGUCACUGAAGAGUUGUGUCUUGUAAUGCUUCAAUGAAGAAGAACAAGAACUCAAAUGUGAAGUAGCCAUGCUCAGUUAGGGAUCAAGAGGAGGGGAGAAGUUAGGAUUGAACAAACGUGUGCAUAUGGAUUACGUUUAUGGUUUGUGUUAUAAAGAUUGUAUCUAUAAAAUAAAUUUACAAAUGCAAGUGCCCUUUUCCAUUUAUGAAGGGACCAAUGUCGUUGAAGUAACUUUUCAUAUACUAAACAAAUCUGUCAUAUGAGGUCAAUAGUUUUUCGUUUUUCUUUAUUCUUUUCUAAUUUAUAAAUUUUAAGUUUACAAGUCAACCAAGCAGAACAAAAUGUUUAUGAAACAUGCAUAGACAAUACAAACUUGAAUUAAGAGUUAAAAUACUUUUCUAAAAGUUCUAUAAAUACAACUAACUUGUACUAGAUAUUGAAUGGUUCUUAUCUAAAUUGAAGAAAGUUUUAACUUACGAAUGUGUUUAUUUGGUGGGGGUUCUCAUACCUUAAUAAAGUAUGAAAAAAUUGUUAUGCUAUAUUGCAAUAAUGGCAGCGCUUAUGUUACAUUUAAGGCAAGUAACAGACCGAUAAAAUGGAUCGUUCAAUUCGUCAAUUUUCAGAUCGAACGACUGUUAAGGAAUUUAACACAAAAUAAGGUACUGGUAGAGGUGGUAAAAUAAUUAUUAUAACAAAGGAUGUGCAACCUGUCAAAACGGUUCAGGGAAUAAGGCAGUUAAGGGGUUAUUCGGUAAUGAAAUUCAUAGAGGGAAAAGAAGAGUUAUGCACGGGUAGUCUGUGUAUGCGUAAAAUUCAAGAGGGUAUGCAGUACAAUAAUUAGGUUUUCAAAAGAGGGGGAAAAUAAGAGUACCACCAAAUGAAAUUGUGAAUAUCCUUGUUCAAUUUUGUAGAUUCACAAAUUGGCGAAACCAAAAGAAUUGCUGCACCCCAAAACCGAAGGUAGAGGCGCCUGAAAGUCACUAAAAAUGCUAAAAUUCGAAACCUCAUCUUGUGAAAUUGUCUUCACCAAUUAAUUUCCCACACAUCAUUAAUUGUUAUGGGUGAUUCUUUUUUAUUUUAACACCUUUAUUUGGAAAAGUAGCAGAAUCGAUCCUGUCGAAAGCCAAAGUGAAGAGCGCGCUUAGGAAUGGGAAUAUGAAUUAUGAAAGGAUUAAAUUGGUCUGUUUCUUUCUGUGAAAAGGGAAAAAGAGUUGUAGAUGGAAAGAAAUGACAGGGCAGAGAGAAGUAGGUUUCUGUGAAAAUUGCGUCAAUGUAUUAACAGGUGAACCGGAUUUAAACCAGAUCAUUCAUCGUGAAGAGAAGAAAGCGGGAGGCUGAAAACAGUGCAGACAAUAACAAAAAGGAGACAAUUAAUUACAGUUUUAGUUCAUACUUGUAAGUAUUAUUCUGGUAUUUGCUCCAAACAAUAUAUUGGAGGUUAUUGUUAAUUGAUAUGAAGCCAGUGCUUACAUUUGUAUUUAAGUGUUAGGUUAAUGGAUAUAUGAGAACAGGUAUCAGAUUAUAAAUUUGUAUUGUAAUUGGGAAAUUUAAUUGAUGGGUACAACUGAUAUUUGGAAUCUAGUCAUUUAAGGUUGAACAAAGUGCACGUGUCAAGAUGUUCGAGAAGAAGUACCUUGCUUAGGGCAGGAGGUCGAACUAGAAGGGUCAUGGCCGUAGAAAGUAGGCACAUUAUAUUAUUUAUAAUUCUGUCAACUAAGCUGUUGCAAUGGGAAAAAGAGUGAUGAAACAUUUGCAAAUGCUUGUACGAGUUUAUCUUAAUUCAACAUUAUUGAAUUUUGGUUUCUUAUGCUGAUAUGUUAUAUGUUCAGCUAAUUAGACUAUUCAUAUAUUGUGAAUUCCAGUGAAUAAGUCAAGGAUGAUAAAGUUACAGUAGUUCGACCAUGUUUAUAGCUUGAUAAAUCGGCAACACGAUCAACAUCACUUAUGAUACGUACAUAACGACCAUCCUUUAGAGUUUCCUUAUAUUGGUCUGAAGCAAUUGAAAGCCAUAGAAAUUGAGCUGAAUAUAGUGAUACAUACAUAAAUUUAUUAACAUAAAAAAUUUAACAUAUAUAUUCCUUUUAUGACAACAAUCAUCUACCCAAAAUAAGAGAUCAUAUUAAAUCAACAUAUUUCAGUUGUUCCAUAAAGAGAUAUACCUAUAUAAAACUUGAUAGGCGUGGUGACAAUAGAGGAUACAAAUAAAAUAACAAUUAAACAAGUGUGAAAAUAUCAUGGGUCUUCGUAUGAUACCCCAGCAAGACAAUCUGAGGUCCAUCUAAAAACUUCGAAGCAUUAUGCUUCAUUUCAAUCUUUCCUUGCUGUAUGAAUAACGACCACCUUAUACCCGUCAAAGAAUGUUCAUCAUCGCCUUACAACUGGGUAUGCUUUCCAGCAACUGUUGCCAUUUUAUUGUUUAUAUUCACCUCAAUGGUUCGCUCUCAUGUGCACAGGAUUGAUUGAACCUGGAAAUAUAAAAAAACAAAUGGAACAACUCAUUCUUCUUAGUUCAAAAAGCACUAGUAGCUUGAUAAGAUACCUUUCUUUUACCUGGUUCAUUGUUUUUAGUUCCAGCAGAUUACUUUCUUCUCAAGCGUCCCAAAUCCAUUUGUCUAGCUUAAAUUUUAAAUGCAAUUCCUGCAGAUUCUUUUGUGUGUUUUCCAUUUAUAGUAGUCUUUUCCAUUUAUAAAACCUGAGGACAGUUGUUCAAGUAUAUUAAACAUAAGGACAAAAUUAAAAACACAUACUCCUUCGUCCAUGAAUUGUAACAUAAUCAUGCUUUAUGAUGACAGUAUCCGUUAUAUAUAAUCCUAACUAUAUGUUCAUGCCAUAAAAACAGAACGUUCUGUUAAGUCAUUCUCUAAAGACUUUGAAACUUAAAGCACCUGCUCAGCUAUUCAUUCCACUUAUAAUAUUCUCACUUCAUCGAUAACAAAUCAUACUAUGUUAAUAAUGAAAUUACAUGAAAAUAGUUGAACUUUGAAACAUGAAUUUGUAAACCGAUUAACAUGUUUAAAAUUAGCCAACUAGUAUUUGCUUACGCCAUUCAGACAUUUCAUCAAACACUUGAUGCAUAUGGCCUAUUUAAGAAUUUGAAGCAAGAUAAAACUAUGAGGAUACUAAUCGAUAAACCAAUCAAUGAUAUUACAAACAUUUCAUCACUCCCAAAAAAAAAAAAAUUAUAAGUUGAAUAACGAAAAAAAUUAUGAAAUUUACGAAACCCUCCCUCACCUCUGAAACUGCAGCUCCACAUCAUUUCUCUAUGUAGUAGUAACAGACAACUCUGAAAGAAUUUGUUUAUUUUUUUUCCCUUUUUCUCAGCCUUGGUUCAAUAAUUUUCAUAAUAAAAUUGUAUGAAUAGUGGCAUAUGACGUUUCAGAGAGGAGCUGUUGCUUCCUUCAAAAACUGGUUAAUGAGAUUUUGGCUUAUGAACUUUUUAAAACCCACUUAAAAAUUUUUCAAUUUCAAUUUUUCUUUUUCUUUUCAAAAUUUUCAUUAAUACCUGCCUAAUCAUCAACCAGCUAUUAUGAGGAAUGCAUAGGAUUGGGUUUACCGUUGACACAUCUUGCAACUGGUUGCCAACCCGUUUCAACAUUUUGUUCUACUGUGCCUUACCGCCACGUGCUGCUCUUACGUGAGUCAAAUGGUCACGUCACAACUAUUACUUACACCAAAUGUAACGUAAACUUACCCAUCAAUGAUAUAUUAUAUGGGGGAAACCUUAGGUGCAACUGUGGUACCGUGCCACAGUUGCAUCCAGCCGUUGUAUUAUAUGACAUGAUAGUUUUCUUUGACACUUUAAUAAAGUGCCAGAAUUUUCAUUGUCAAAUUAUAGUAACUUCCUCUAUUUUAUAACACUAUAUAAAUAAAUGUCGCUUGUUAUUAUAAAAUUUUCAAUUAUUUUUAACUUCCCUCUUGUAUCAAUAAAUAGCUUGUUUGGUAUUAAGAUAAAAAGUUGUGACUACGAAGUAAAAAUUAUUAGUGUGUUGUAAAUAUAAUUUUUGAAUAAAAAUUUUGACAAAAAUAAUAAAGAUAUUAUAUAUUUUUUAUCAUACAAGUGUUGGAAUAAAUCAACACAAUUUUCAAACUAUAGUAAUAAAUAUUUCCCCAAGACUUUAGUGUUAUAAAUAAAAAGUUACAACUAUCCAACCGGACUAUUAAAUACUAAAUAAAAUCUAAGAUUGAGUCAAAACAUAAUGAAUCAAAACCUAUUCACCAAGAAAAAAGAAACUCCACUUGUGUCCAUAUACAAAUUUAUAGAUAAUUAUAUGUAAUUUUUUUAGAAUACUAUUUACACAAUAAAUAUAUAUAACGUGGGCUACCUCCUUUACAACGUGCUUUUUUUUUAUUAGAGGGGGCUCGUCAAAACGAGCUAAACAAGAACAAAGCGGGGUUGAGUAACCCCAAACAUAUCUUGCAAAAUGAUAGAAUAAAUUCCCACAGGAGGGUUAGAAAACACAUGCAAUCCAAGAGGAAGUGAAUGAGCAAUAUUAGCCAUGAAGUCCGCAGCUAAGUUUGCUUCACGAUAGAUGUGAGUGAUAGCAGUAUGCUAGUUUCUACUUAAUAAUUCCCGAACAGCAACAACUAAAGCAUAGAACACGUUAAGAACGACCACCUGCUUAGAGAUCAUUUAGGUAACACAAAGACUGUCCACUUCCACCAACAGUUGUUUUAUGCCUGCAUCCCAAGCAAGAAUUAAGCCCUGAUACAGCCCCCAAAGCUCAGCCAUAAGCACUGAACUCUCCUCAAUUCUCAUACUAAAUCUGGAAAUCCAAUGGCCGACAGAAUCUCUAAUAACGCCACCUGCUCCUGUCUCUCAUGCAUUUUUACAAGAACCAUCUGUAUUUAAUUUGCACCAUGGCCAAGGCGGCAGCAACCAGCGAAUAAGAAUCUCCUUUUUCCUCGGUUGUUGGCUUAUGGAAGAGUUAUUAACUCUAUGAAUUUCAUUAGUUCUGGCCAUAAUAUCCAGAUAGACUGUUAAGCUGUCCACCAACUUUCCAGCAACGGAGAAUUGGUUCCUCCAGAAACCUCCAAACUGUGACGCCAAAGAUACAAUCCCAAGGGACGGGAGAUGCAAUCUUCCACUUAUUUUGUAGGUGUCCACAGCCCAGUCACGUAAAUUCGAGUUAAAGAAAGUGCUAUGAUUGUCCAUUGGAACAAGCCUACUCCAAGCCUGCUUAAUACAGCUGCAAUCUCUCAAUGCAUGGAGGAUAUCUUCAACCGCACCCCCACACCUAUCACAACCCACAUGAACGAGAAUAUGACACCUAGCAAGCUCAUCGUGAGUCUUAAGUUUCCCAUGCAAAAGCUGCCAAAGAGGCGGAUGGAUUGAGGCCCCUUCCAAGUCCAUGGUAAGUUCCAAGUUAUGUCAUGUUAAGCAAAGUGAUGAUAGCAAAGAGAUUCAUAAGCUGACCGAACCGUAAACAAGCCUCUAGGAUCAAAACCCCAGAAAAUUGAAAUUGAGGAAACGUGUUAGGUCGUUUGGGUUUUCUUGUCGCUGACUUUUUAAUUAUUGAAUUAUCUCUAGGACUUUGGGCUAGCCAUUUUAAAGUGAAUUAACUUUGCCGGGCUUUGACAGAUGAGUGGAUUUCUAUUUAGAGCAUCUCCAAAAGUCUCUAUAAAUUUUACUCUUCAAAUAUUUAUUUGCUUACCUAUGUGGCAAAUAGAAAGGUGAAAAAAUAUGAUAUUCUCCAAAAGACUCUUUAAAUAGAAAUAAAUUAAUAUUAUUUUAAUCAAAUAAUUAAUUUUUUAAAGGAAAAGUCAAUAGCAAUUAAAGCAUUUCUCUCUCUUUCUCCAAUGAAAAGUAAUGAAAUAUGAAUUGAAGAGAGAGAAAUCAACUCUCCAAAUUUGAAGAGAGAGAAUCAUUUCUUAAUUGAAGAAUUUUAAUUGGAGUGUCUUUUGGAGCUUUAAAUAUUGAUGUGGCUUUUCAAAUAAGUAAUAAAAUCUUAUUUGAAAAGCCUUUUGGAGAUGCUCUUAGAGUUGGCCUUUUGACAUCCCCGUAAAUUUCUCGUAGAACUCUUCUUUAAAUGGAAUUUCCGAAAUAACUAAAAAUAAAUUAAUUCUUUUUUAUUUUGAAUGAAAAUCCAAUUAAAACUCAUAAAUAAAUUAUUAUUUUUAAUAAUUUUUCACACCCACUACAUUUCAUUAUUUAUAUUUUAAAUUUUAAUUGAAUUUUUUGAGAAACUUUUAAGAAUUUAAAAUUUGUGAAGUAGAAUUUAUGUAACAAGAUAAGAAUAAUUUAAGAUUUUAGAACUUUUAUGCAUUUACAUAUUAGAAAUUAAAAAAAUAUUAGUUUUAGGAUGAAAUUUAUUAACAAAAUGAUUGAUUUUAAUUUAUAAUUUAGUAUUUUAUAAAUUAAGUUGGAGUAUUUUUGGGGAAUAAAAUUUAGAAAGGAGUGUCAUAAAGAUUUUGGGGGUGUUAGAAGCUCCACUCGCAUGGUUAUUGGUCUAAAUCAGGUUUUGGGCUGCUUUGUGUGCCCCGGCCUACUUGGACAGUGCAAUACAAAGAUUGGAUUUGUAUUUUGUAAGAGUUGCAUUUGCAUGAAUUUCAAUUUUGGUUGCCAUUUUUCUUAGUUUCUGUAACAACUAAUAAAAUUAAGGGAAAUUAUCAUUUGUAUACCUUUAGUUUACUCCAUUAUCAAAAAUACUACAACACUUUGAGGGUGUAUCAAUCGUCCACCUUAAGUUGACAAAAUGUAUCAGCUGACCACCAAACCGUUAGUUGCCGUUUAAGUAUGAUGACGUCAGAAGGGUAAUUUGGUCUUUUCAUAUGAUACAAGUGAUAAUUUAAGGGUAUACAAGUGAUAAAAAGAGAAUUUAAGGGCAUACAAGUGAUAAUUUUUAAGGGUAAAAUCGUCAAUUCACUGUAACUCCGUUAACUUUCAAACGGCAACUAACGGUUUGGUGGUCGAUUGAUACAUUUUGUCAACUAAGGGUGGACGACUGAUACACCGUCAAAGUGUUGUAAUAUUUUUUAUAACAGAGCAAAUAUAGGGUAUAUGAAUGAUAAUUUCCCUAAAAUUAAAAGAUAAAAUUGUGGUCAGAUGAAGAAUUGCUCUGUCAAAUUGUCAUUUCCAAAUAAAUAAAAUGAAAAUGAUUACAUAUUAACAUGUGACAAAUGUUAAGCUUAGUUGAAGAAGAAUCAGUUGGUGGGUUGUUUUCUAUAUUGAUUGAUAAUUACCUUCGUAUUUUAAUCAGUUGCUGGUGGAACUUCGUUGUCCAUUCUUAUUAAAAGCUUUUAAAAACUCAGUCCAAUUUUCUAACUAUUGCUUUCCCAACGAAAUGUCCAGAUCCUAGACCCAAUUUCACUUGACUCAAAGCUAUUGUCUUUUGCCUUUCUAAAUCAAGUUUUAGUUAAGGGCAAGGUAGUAUCUCAGUUUAAUUUUUUUUUUUUCUCAAAUUUAUGCAUAAAUUAGGUGGAAUAAUUUUAUAUUCUAUUAUUAACUCAUUUAAUGGAUGGUUGUUAAACAAGUCGUUAUAGUAUUAAUUGGGUUCGAUAUAGUGAAUCCAUUGAGGCCUUAGUGCCCAAUUUUGACACAGCAGAAUUUGUUCAACAACGGCUACUGCAGUACAGCAGAAUUUGUUUUGAAGGAAAGCUGAAUGUUGCGGACCGCCCAAUUCGUUAGCCCAAUUGCCCCAAUUUCGGGCUAGAGAGCCAACACAAGGCCAAGAGUGCUAGCUUGGCCCAAUUCCGGAAGGUUCUAGGCAACUCUAGCACAUGUGAACAUGUAAAUAUUCUAGAAUACUUUAUACAAUUCCAGCACAUGCAAAUAGCUAGGAAAUUGUAAAAUACUCUAGAGUUUGACCAAGUUUGUCAAAGUUAGGUAAAGUUAGGCAAAGUUAGGCAAAGUUAGGCAAAGCCUCCCCUAUAAAUAUGGGAUGGCAUUAAGCAUUUGUAUCCAACAAGCAUUGUAAUCUCUCUUUGUGCAAUACAAGUUUCUUUGGCUCAAUUGCUCUCUUCUCUUGUUCGAGAAUCUCUAGGCUUACUUAGCAACAUUCGGCAAAGUUGUCUAAGUGCCGCACGGGUUAGCUGCGCAAAACACUCAUCCCGUGACAUGAAGCUGUUAUAGAAGCUUUUCAAAGAGUAAGGCUCACAGGACAAACACACAUUGACAAAAAGGCUACUGGAGUUAAGGAGAAAUGGCAUCCUCCGCCAGGUAACGUUAGUAAGAUAAAUGUGGAUGCAGCAAUUGACAAGCAAAAUCAGCAAACAGGACUGGGAGUAGUCAUUUGAGAUUCCAACGGCAAGAGAAUGGCAGCAGCGGUCAAAACAUCAAAACAGUGGAAGGAUGUGGCUUAUACUGAUGCUGAAUCUAUGGAAUAGGGGCUUGAGGUAGCAAAGGAAGCUGCUAUGUCUUGCCUGAUAAUGGAGAUGGAUUGCCAAGAAGUUGCUGAUUUAGUUAACUAAGAAGAAAGGGAGUAAGACUGAGAUAUUUUGGGUAAUUUCUGAAAUCCAAAAAUAGAGCAAGUGGUUCCAAGAAGUCAAAGUUCAACACGUUCCAAGGGCAUGUAAUGUCCAAUGUAACUGACCUAUGGCUGGACCCCAUACCAGCAAACAUAGCUAUGUUUUGUCUUGUCAGUUGAAUGAGAAGAUCUUCACGUACAUGUGCUUCACGAAUGGCAAGACUAACAAUGAGAGAAGGGAACAUGUGCUUCACGAAUGGCAAGUGAAUGGACAUGAAAAACAUAUCUCGAAUUAUGUUUUUUUCCAAUUCGAAAAACAGACUUUUCGACUCGAACAGCUGUGAUUGGAUAUGCAAGUGGGCCACAUCUUCAACACGAGAAAGUAUGAAUAGCUCGCAAGGACUUUUCGACUGCAACAGAAAACUAAUGGGAGGAAGAGGAGAUGCAGGCAAUGAAUGUAAUUAGCGUUUUUUUUUUUCAAAAGAGUUAAGUUACGUGGUGUAGAAUCCAGACUCAAACAUGUGCUUCAAUAAAUCUCUUACUACGCUAUCCUAUUAAUUUUUAUGAGUUUUUAAAUUUUGUCUAAUUAAGAUCUUCUAUUUGUAAUUGUAAUUUUGUAUCUGAGAGGUGGUGGAAUAGGUGCAUAAUUGUUGUGACUUGUGACUGGGAGAAUGCACCUCUGGAGGAUCUGCCACUGGUUCAAAGAUAUUAGAUGUUGAAUAUAAUUAUGUGCAAUUUGAAGAGAAAUAUUUUUCGCUGAGAGCAUUUUUUAGUGCAAGGAAUCAUUAAAACAAGGCGCUGGAUUUAAAUUUAUCUAAAAACAGUUUUUUUCGUAAAAUUCUAAUCGUUAGUUCAAAAUUAAGAUUAAAUAAAUAAAUAAUGUUUCUUUUUUAAUUUUUGUUAGCUUACUAGUAUCCAAAUUAAAUUCUAUAUAUAUAUAUAUAAAGCAUGUGAUUGUAAUACAGACUUAUUUUUACAGUCAAUGCAUUUUAAACCAUGUGAGCAUUCAAAAAAUUUUCGGAAAUAUAUAUAUUGAUAGUUUUCUUUAUAAUUUUGUGUGAAUCAUUUGAUACUCGAUAUGAAUACACAAUUCGCUGACUUUAUAUUAUCUUUAUUUUUUUAUCAAUUGUUAUCUUUAAAACGUAGUUCAAAGAAAUCAACACAAAUAAAUUUACAAUUGUUUAAGGAUAUUACGCAGUAAAAAAUUAUACUAGACAAUAAUUUAAGCUAAACAUAUAUCCUUAUUUUUAGAUGUUCUAUAUAUUAAACGUAUUCAAGAGUUUUUUAGCUAAAACCAAUUUUCAAGUAUUAUACAUCAAAUGUACAUUGAAAUACUAGAAAUACCAAAAAUACAAUUCUAUUUUAAAAUAUAUUUCAAUUUUUAAAAAACUGUUUUCAAAUCCUGACUAAUUUUAAAAACGAAUUACUUAUUACACAAGUCUUCUGCCCGUUUGUUCACGUACGUCUUGUUGAUCUCAAAAAGCCAAUUAUAUCGUAAUAAAAAAAAAAAAGCCAAUUAUAUUUUCGGGGACGGCCACACCGUGGAACCUGACUUGCACCGGCAAGUCAUUAAGUCCACAAACGACUUUGACUUGGUGCGCUUUUCCUGAUACCACAUACCCAUACAUCCUACUGGAUAAAACUUCUCAAUUUGCACAAAUCAAUGGACUAGGAGAAAUUAAAAAUACCAAGAAUUAUUUUUACAAAACCUGCAGGUUGCCUAUAUAAAGGCAACGCUGUUUUACUACCAUGCAUGCAUGUCAUAAAAAGCAAAAUAACUUAAAGCCAUUUUAGAAUUCCUGUUGAGAAGUAAUGGGGUUAUGUUUAACUUUCUUCACAUUUAGACAUUCAGUUUGUUUUUCCUUCUUAAUAUUUCAUCUUGCAAUUGCUCACUUUAUUUCUUCUAUUCAGCCACUCUGCCAUCAUCAUGAGCGUUCUGCCUUGUUGAGUUUCAAGGAAAGUCUUGUCAUUAAUCAGACUGCUUCCUCUGAUCCUUCUGCUUAUCCCAAGGUUGCGACAUGGAAGCCGGAUGAAAAAAAUAGGUUCUGAUCCUUCUGCUUAUCCCUAAAAAUUUUUUUGGGGAGAAAAAAAUAACUAUAAUUACUAUUUAUUUUUCCUGUUAAAAAAUAAUAGCUAUUGAGUGGUAAUUUUUUAUCCUACUAAAUAUCAUUAAAUCUCAUACACAUCUCAUUGUAAUUUGUUUUUUCAAAUUGUUGUAUGUUUUCAAGUAAUUUAUAAUUAAUAUUAUAUGUUUAAUUUAUUAAUUACUAGUCCUUUUUUAAUUAGCAUGCAUUAAAUUAAAUAUGUGUGAGAAUUAUUUAAAAUUUCCCAUUUAAUUUUCAACGUUAGAUUUAGAUAAAAACUGUUACAUUAGAAUAUAAAUGGUGGGAUUUUGUGUACGAUGCAGCAGGGAGCAGAUAUUCACUAUAGGAAAUAGAAACAAGUUCUGUUUGAAUUCAAAAUAAAUACACAUGGGAAACGAAGGUUGAAGCAAGCUAGAUCAAAAGUAUCCAUUUUCUAAAUAUACUUUUGUGGCAAUGAAACCAUUGAUUAAUAUACUUUUGGACUAAUAUGUUUGAUUUUCAUUUUAGGUACUCUUUGCAUGCACAUUAGAUAGAUAUAUUGAUGAUACUUGAUGAAAAAGAAGGCAGCGACCAGAUUCUAGUAACUGGCACCAUCAAAAGAGUGUAUGGCUAAACGUAAGGGAUAUAUAGCCUUAAAAACUCUCAUCUCUCCAGCAUGAACCAUCAAAGAAGCUCUAAUUUCCGGGAAAAAUUAAAAUUAUUUAAUUUACAUUACAUGUAAAUUCAUUGCCUAUAUAAUAUAAACUCUCAGUCACACCCAGAAGAUGAAUCACUAAAAGUCACUAGGCAUUAAAGAAUAUUUAUUUUACAGAUCAAUUGUAUGUUGCUGGGUUUGGUAUACCAGAAUGGAGAUGAUUAAAGUGGUUGCCAAUGACAUUAAUGAAGCUCAAACUGAUCAGAAAGAAGAUCAAUUAUUAGAAGCAUCAGAUGUUUUCACUAGAGCAAAACAUCCUGUUACAUUGAAGGUACGUAACACGUAUUUGAUGCGUCUUUCAUUUGUUGUCUAUAAUUAUUUCAAACUUAUUUUAUAAAAUCAUUGGUAUAAUUAGAUUUUUUAUUAUUAAUUAGUAUUCUAUUAUAGGAUUAUCUUGUACGUAUUAUUAAUAAUAAAUGUUCAUUUAUGUUGAAAUUCAAAUUAAGGAAAAUAUAUUAGAACUAAAGAAACUUCUUUUAUUUUGAUUCAUCAUUGCUGCUUAACUUUUUUUUUUUUUAAUUUAAUCCAUUGUUUUACAGUUUGAGGACAUUGUAUACAAGAUCAAAAUGAAGAAAGGAUUCUAUGGAAGCAACAAAAAAAUUGAAGAAAAAGCAAUAUUAAAGGGAAUCACUGGAAUGGUUAAACCAGGAGAAAUGCUAGCCAUUCUAGGCCUGAAGCUAGCCAUGCUAGGCCCUUCAGGCUGUGGCAAAACAACACUACUAACUGCAUUGGGGGGUCGACUUGGGCGAAUCAAUGGAAGGAUUACCUACAACGGGAAGCCUUUUCCGAAUCAAAUGACGUGAAACACAGGCUUCGUUACUCAAGAGGACGUGCUUUCCCCUUACUUGACCGUCACGGAAACAAUGGUAUUCACUGCCCUUCUUCAAUUACCUAAUAGUUUUACCGAAAAAGAAAAAAUCAAGUGUGCAGAAGCUGUGAUGACCGAGCUUGGUUUAAGCGAGUGCAAGAAUAGCCUCAUAGGAGGGCCACUGACAAGAGGAGUUUCAGGGGGAGAGCGAAAAAGGGUUAGUAUAGGGCAAGAAAUAUUGAUAAACCCCAGCUUAUUGUUUCUUGAUGAGCCCACUUCGGGUCUUGAUUCAACAAUAGCUCAACAGAUUUUAUCUAUAUUGUUGAAAUUAGCAAAUGGAGGGAGAACAAUUCUGAUGACAAUACAUCAACCUUGUAAUAUGCUAUAUUACAUGUUUCAUAAGGUGUUAUUGUUAUCAGAAGGUUACCCUUUAUAUUCUGGAGAAGCAUCAGGUGCUAUGAAUUAUUUUGCGAGCAUCGGAUAUUGCCCAUCAGUGCCUACGAACCCUUCAGAUUUUCUUCUAGAUCUAGCAAGCGGUAUAUGUGCUAAUUAAUUUUUACAAUAGCUUUUUAUAAUUAACAGAUAUAAGAGUAUCCAUUUAAGGCAUGCAUCAUUAAUGUGUAGGGAUGCCAUCAAAUGGAUCAUGGAAGGAGCAAGCCCUGGUCAAGCAAACUCUAAUUUCUCAAUAUGAAAAAAAUCUUGCCGACAAAUUGAAGGCUGAGCUAACACAAGAAAAUGAAAAUGAAUCUCAAGAUCAACCAGAAGACAAGCAAUUUAGAAGAUUCUCAACAACUUGGUGGCAACAAUUCCGUGUGUUGGUCAGAAGAGGGAUCAAAGAAAUCAUGGACGAAUCGUUUUCCUGCCUCAAGAUUAUUGAAGUCCUUGUGAUUGCUUUCCUUUCAGGACUACUAUGGUGGCAAUCUAGUAUUUAUCAAAUACAAGAUCAGGUAGCAAUUUCUUGACUUUUUGGAUAUACAUAUAUAAUUAAUUAAUUUGUUGAUUUAAUAGCAAUAUUUUUUUGUGUAAAUUAAUUAAUUUUGUUUUGACAAAAAAUGCUUGCAGAUUGGACUUCUUUUCUUUUUUUGUGACUUUUGGGGAUUUUUCCCAAUGUUGGAAUGUAUUUUCACGCUCCCACAGGAACAAAAGAUGCUCGAAAAGGAAAUAUCUUCAGGAAUGUACAGGCUUUCGGCAUACUUCAUGUCAAGAAUCAUCAGUGACCUUCCAAUAAAGCUUGUUAUUCCCACAGUUUUUGUGACCAUAACUUAUUGGAUGGCAGGCCUUAAACCAACAGCUUCAAAUUUCUUUGAAACCUUGUUUGUUCUUUUAUUUUCUGUGCUAGAGUCACAGGGCCUAGGGCUUGCCAUUGGUGCAAUGGUAAUGGAACAAAAAUCUGCAACGAUACUCGGAUCAAUCAUCAUGCAAUUAUUUGUGCUAGCAGGAGGGUAUUAUGUGCAAAAUGUGCCCUCUUUCAUUGCAUGGCUCAAAUAUUUAUCAAUUGGUCACCAUACGUACAAACUUUUGCUGGGGUCUCAAUAUAAUUAUAAUGAAACAUAUCCAUGCGGGGAUUCGGGAGGAUUAUGCUUGGUUGGAGAGCAUCCAACUAUAAAAAAAGUAGGGCUUAAUAGGAAAGAUUAUUCGGUGAUUGCUUUAGCCAUAAUGCUUGUGGGCUAUCGGCUUAUUGCUUACAUUGCUCUUAUGAGAAUUGGGGCAAAUUAAAUUGGCGUUACAUGACAAAAGAUCCAUAAAAACUCAAUAAUACUCAGAUAAGGAGAUGAUCAUGUUCCUAAAAAUAUAAAUAGGAUUAUUCAUGAGAUAAUUUUAGAAAAAACCUACUUUUUUUCAAAUUUAGUAGGGUUUCUUAGGACUCCUUAUAAAUUCAUACUUUUCCCUCUUCCUUAGCCCUAAGUCAACGUGUUCUUAUAUUUUCUCUAUUGUUCAUUGCUCUCUUACUCAUAUCCUAGGAUUCAAACCUUUCUUUAGGAGAGAAUCAUAACGGUUGAUAAGUUUUACUCUCCCUAUUGUCCACAAGUUUUCCUAUCACUCUAUUUAGGGUUGCAAUUGGCAUGCUUUUAAAAUGUUACAUAUCAUUACACAUGAUUUAGGAUGUGCUUAGGGCUUUGAUUUAUUAUUGAGUCUUGUUAAUCAAUCCUUGAUACAAUAAACACACUAGACAAUUUUGGAUAACAUGAAUAUCUCGAAAUUAAACAUAUAUUUUCUAAACGAUUCUUCUUAUGAACUUAUCUUUCCGAAAACAAGACAUGUAGAGCUUAUUGAAUAAAUUUUGUUUCACGAGAUUUGACUUCGUUUUUAAUUUUAUAUGUUUUUUUGAAACAGACACUACUGCACUAUUAUACUGUGACUUCAGUAGAAUAACAAAUUUCACAAAAUUAUUUGUUGUACCAAACGAAUUCGAAAAAUUCUGAAAUUUUAAAAAGAGAUUGAACAAUCACAUACACAUUAUCAAGAAAAGUGGGUCAGGGUAUUUGAACAUGGCACAAGGUAUGGCACACUCCGUACAACAUGGCAAUGUCACAACACAUUUUUAUCAAGGCUCAGGGCGAGUACAUAAUGACCACAUACACAUUAGGCCUCGUUCAAAGUUUAGAUAUGUAGAUUAAAAAAGGACGAUAUGAUUAUAGAUGGGCCAAAACUUGAUCUAUGUAGAGAGUACAUGCACACUUCAAGAUUGCAAUAUCUUUAUUAUUCUUAUAGUUUAUAAUUAUUUUGUAGUAUUUUUAUGUUUUUUACGAACUAUUUGUGAUAAAAUUUAAACUAACUGUAUAAAUAAAGACUUAAAUAUCCAAUAUCUUAAGGACAAGAUAGUGGAAACCAAACCUCCAAGCCCCACAAUUUUAAUAUGUUUGUAUUUGUCAAGAACUCAAUGACUUUCUUUGCAAUUGAGUUUUAACUCUUGCAUAAAUUGAGUUAAUUUUCAUAAUUUUAUUAAUUAAUUGAAGAUUUGCUCAUUUAGGAGAACGAAGACCAUUAAACUUGAGCAUGUUUGGAUUGUUUUCAAAAUUUAAAAAACUAAAUAAAGAAAUCAUACUCAGGUUUUUUUUUUAAAGAAAACAAGCAACAAAUAAGAUGAUUGUAGAAAAGUUCAAAUACAUUAAAGAUGAGAAUUUGUAACUUUAAAUUUAAAUAUAAACUUGUUACCUAAGAGAACCAACAACGUAAGAGGCACUUAGGGCAUUACCAAAACCUCUUCAAAUUAGAUUUUACUUCUUAUUUAAAGAGCCGCAUCAAUAAUAAACACUCUAAAAGAUACUUACUUUAGUUGGGAUUCUUAAAUUAAGAUAUGUUUCUCACUUUUCAGUUUUGCUGAAUAAGUUUUUUCAUCUUCUAUUAAUAUUUUAUUAUUUUCACUGGGGAGAAAAAAAUAACUAUAAUUACUAUUUAUUUUUCCUGUUAAAAAAAUAAUAGCUAGAGUGGUAAUUUUUUAUCCUACUAAAUAUCAUUAAAUCUCAUACACAUCUCAUUGCAAUUUGUUUUUUUCAAAUUGUUGUAUGUUUUCAAGUAAUUUAUAAUUAAUAUUAUAUGUUUAAUUUAUUAAUUACUAGUCCUUUUUUAAUUAGCAUGCAUUAAAUUAAAUAUUUGUGACACUCUAGACAUAUGUGUUCACCUUGUAGGGUGGAGAGAUUAAAGGUUAUAAUGCCAUACCAUAAAUAUAUGAGCAACUGAUCAUUGUUAGUAGAUUUAAAGGUAUGAGAUUUCCAACAUGCGAUAGCUGCGGAUGCAGAUUUAUUCUACCCAUUGCUGCAGCACUUAUUGUAACAACUGGUGCUAAUUUGGUAAACAACAGUCAGCCCAUUAGGAGAGUUUGAUCAUUCAACUACUAUAUUCUUAAUUGAAUCUUAGACACAUUUAACUUAGUUUAUUUCAUUACAGUAUUUUUUUAUUUCCAUCUCUCACAAUUAUUAGUUACGAUAGAAUUAUUUGACAAUUGUUUGUUUCGGUCUUUAGUUGAUUUGCACUAUUAUGAUUGCUUUAGCAUUUUGGAGUAACAUCAAUCCCUGUGGAGACGAUCUUGAAUACUCAUCACUUUGUUACUUAUUGUGUAUACUUGCACAUUGGCAUUGAUAAUAAUUGAUUAUAGAAAUCAAUCAACAAUGGCCAAGUCAAUACUUCAUGAAAAGGGGCUGCUAAAAUCUUUUCGGGGUGAAGUGAUUCAUAUGGUUGUAUAUUAGACAAAUAGGUGCCCAACAAAAGUAUUUCAAAAUUAAACACCAAUUGAAGCCUGGAGCGAAAGAAAGUCGUUAAUAAGACAUCUGAAACUAUUUAACUGUAUUUGCUAAUCACAAGUUCCCAAAAAAAAAAAAGACAUACACUUGAUAAGACAAGUGAAAAGUACAUUUUUACAGUUAUAGCUCACAAUCUAAAGGCUAUAGGUUGUAUAGUUUAAAGAUUAAUAAGAUAGUCGUGAUGUGUAAUUUAAUGAAAAAACAACAUCGAAUCAGGAGCAAAGUUAAGGUGAACAAAAGGUUAUUAAUGUGGAAGAAAUCAAAAGACAAUCAAUCCUUGAUAUCGAAAACAAUGAAAAUUCACCUCAAGUAUCUCCACCAUCAAGUGCAUUGUCACAUCAAUUGACUCAUCAAGUUCAUCUACAGGUCCAAAAAAAAUGAAGAGUUUGGCUGACAUUUAUGCGAGAUGCAAUUUUUGUGUCUUUGAACCUAAAAAUUUUGAGCAAGCCAUAGAAGAUGAAGCUUGAGUGGUAACUUUUUUGGGGAUAAGCAGAAGGUGUCAAAUGCAAUGAAGACACUGGUCAUGUUGUGGAGCUCGAUCUUGCUAGCAGUUGCCUCUAUGGUUCUAUCAACUAUACCAGCAGUCUCUUUCAGCUUGUUCAUCUGCAACGGCUUAGUCUCUUCGAUAACAACUUCAAUUUCUCUGAAAUCCCUUCUGGAAUCUUAAACUUUUCAAGGCUGACCCAUCUAAAUCUCUCUCGGUCUUAUUUUUCUAGUCAAAUACCAGCAGAGUUGCUGGAGCUCUCCCAUUUGGAGGUCCUUGAUCUAUCAUUUUGUAAUUUUGAUAAUUUUUAUCUGAAGCUCCAAAAGCCAGGUCUUGCAAAUCUAGUAGAGAAUUUAACCAACAUGAAAGCACUUGAUCUUAUCAAUGUCAACAUUUCUUCAACAGUUCCUCAUACUUUGGCAAAUUUAUCUUCUUUGCGUUUCUUGUCUCUCAGUGGAUGCCGUUUGCAAGGUGAAUUUCCCCAAGAGAUUUUCCAGUUACCCAACCUUCAAUUCCUUGGUGUGAUGAAGAACCCAAAUCUCACUGGAUAUUUGCCACAAUUCCAGAAAAACAGUCCCCUUGAAGAUUUGAGACUUUCAUACACGAGAUUUUCAGGUAAGAUUCCAGAUUCAAUAGAAAAUCUUGAAUCUUUAUCUUACCUGGAUAUUAGUGACUGCUCCUUUGUAGGAAAAAUUCCAUCUUCACUUUUUAACCUUACCAAGCUCGAAUAUCUAUACCUUUCUGGUAAUAGAUUCUUGGAUGAGUUGCCUACCUCCAUUGGAAAUUUUGCUUCUUUGAAAACUUUAGAAAUUUAUUCAAUCAAUUCCUUAGGCACAAUUGCUGCACUUGGUAAUCUUACCCAACUCAGUUCAUUGACAAUUUCUGGCAGCAACUUAGUUAGUGAGAUCCCGUCUGUUUUCAUGAACCUAACACAGCUUACUGAUUUAGAUUUGAGUCAAAACCAAUUAACUAGUCAUAUUUCAGUUGAAAUUAGUAAUCUAACUCAACUGUAGUAUCUGUAAUUUUCAUCGAAUCAAUUGGAAGGCUCUGUUCCAAGCUCUAUCUUUGAGCUUAGGAAUCUAGAAGGGCUUGACCUUUCCUUCAAUAAUCUCAGUGGCACAGUGGAUCUAAACAUGUUCCUUCUUAGCUUCAAACGUUUAAAAGUAUUAGGUUUCUCAUCAAAUAAAAUGUCAUUCCUCACUAGAACCACUUAUAGUACCAAUACACAGAAAUUUAAGAUAAUAGGAUUGAGAUCAUGCAACCUUAGCGAGUUCCCAUCUUUUUUGCACAACCAAGACCAAUUGAUGUCACUGGAUCUUUCCUCUAACAAGAUAGAUGGAAAAAUACCUGAAUGGUUGUUCAGUGCAGGUACAAAUAGUUUGGAAUAUUUGAACCUUUCUUACAAUCGAUUGAUGGACUUCGAGCACAAUCUCCGUGUUCUUCCAUGGAAUUAUCUUAGAGCCCUAGACCUUAGGUUUAAUAAGCUGCAAGGACCACUCCCAAUUCCAUCAGCGUCAAUUUUUUCAUAUCUCAUUUCAAACAAUCAGCUGACCGGGGAAAUUCCACCAUCAAUAUGCAGUUUGAAUGGUCUUCAUGCUCUUGAUUUGUCUCACAACAACUUAAGUGGCAUGCUUCCUGAAUGUUUGGGCAAUUUCAGUGUUGAGUUGUCAGUAUUAAAAUUGCAAAGUAACAACUUUCAGGGAAGCAUUCCUCAGACCUUCACGAAAGGAACAAAUCUGGCUAUGAUUGAUUUAAGCAACAAUUCAUUGCGUGGGAGAAUCUCGAAAUCACUGGCAAAUUGUGUGAAGCUCAAAUUUGUCCAUCUUGGGAAUAACCAAAUCACUGAUGUCUUCCCUUCCUGGCUGGGAACUCUUCCAGCGUUAGAGGUUCUUGUCUUGAAAUCCAAUAACGUUCACGGAGAAAUAAAGGAACCUCGAACAGCUUUCGAUAUUUUGAAGCUCCGCAUCAUUGAUCUCUCUCAUAACAGAUUUGGAGGCAUUCUUCCGUCGAAGCACUUCGAUUAUUGGAAUUCCAUGAAAUAUGUCAAUGCAAGUAACCUAACAUAUAUGCAUGAUACACUAGAUCCACGGGGUUAUCCUGUAUCUACCUAUUUUGGCUUUUUUGAUUACUCACUAACAAUGAGUAACAAAGGCACAUAAUUGGAAUAUGAGAAGCUCUCAAAUCUGAUCACAGCAAUUAUUCUCUCCAACAACAGUUUUGUAGGAGAGAUUCCAACAUCAAUUGCUAAUUUAAAGGGGCUUCGAAAUCUCAAUCUUUCCAACAACAAUCUCCAGGGCCGCAUUCCAUCAUCUUUGAGUAACCUAACGGCGAUAGAGUCAAUGGACCUCUCCAGUAACAUGCUCUUAGGAAAUAUUCCUCAACAACUCUCAGAGCUCACAUUCCUUGCAGUCUUUAAUGUGUCAGAUAACAUGCUCACAGGGCCAAUACCACGAGGGAAACAGUUUGACACAUUUUUGAAGAGUUCAUUUGAUGGAAAUCCAGGGUUGUGUGGUGGACCUUUGUCAAAAAAAUGUAACAACUCCGAGGCUUCACCACCAGAAGAAGAUCCUCACUCAGAAUUUGUAUUUGCAUUUGGUUGGAAGACAGUUGUGAUUGGAUAUGCCAGUGGGACAAUAAUAAGAGUGAUUAUUGGGCACAUCUUCAAUACAAGAAAGUAUGAAUGGCUCGCCAGGACUUUUCACCUGCAAUCGAAAGCUAAUGGGAGGAGGAGGAGAGUCGGGAGACAUAGGCAACAGAUGUAAUUAACCCUUUUUCUUUUUCUUUUUCUUGUAUGAAGGAGCUGCUUUAUUAUGCUUUAAAUUUCUUUCUCCUUCUUUUCUUCGAAGUUUAAUAAACGUUUUAUUAUUAUAUAUUGUUAGAGUGCAAUUUAUGCACUAGUUUUGCAUUGUUUACUUCCCUUAAUAUCGAUGUUUUGCACUUAAUAAUAAUGAUUUACUUGUGUUUUACUUUUGUAGGUGCAAUUCUAUUGAUUUGUGAUAAAAUUGAGCUAUAAGAUGAUGUUUAAGGAUGAUUGUCCUCUUGGAGAAAUUAUGAGCGUUAGAAGAACUUUGUCGAUAAGGCGUGGACGUGUGCUGUCAACUGCGGACCUACAGUUUUUAGUUUAACGUGUUUUGUAUUUUUGGUUAUUUUUGUAAUUACGAAUUUAAUAUUUCAGAUAUUAGUAUUUUAUUUUAAAUAGAACUCUAAAAGAGAAGAGAGAGAGAGUAUUUAAGGGAGGAAUCUAUUGUGAAAAAGGGGGAUUGGAGAAAAAGAAAGAAACCCUAGAUCUAAACUUUUCUCUUCUCUUUAUGAAGAACUAAACCUAUUUUCUGAUUGAAGGAUAAUGAAGCUUUGAUUCAUCACUACUGUGAGAUCUAUUUUAUGCUUUAAUUAUUUUAUUGCUUUUUGGGUAUUUGUUUAUUCUCUGAAUUAUUUUCAUGAUUAUGUUUGUUAAUUAGGUAAUUGGCCACUAUUUAAUUAUCAACUUAAUCUAUUGUUAAUUAAAGGAUUCAUCGUAUGAAGAUUUUAAUGUUUGUGACAAAUAACAUAGCAAUGAGUUGUGUUAUGUGAAUAAACAAUCUAAUUUAAAUGAAUCAUCGUAUGUGUUGAUUAGGAUUUGGGUCUCUCUGGUCUUUCAGGCUGUCAAUUGAUUAAAUCCUAUGAUCGUAUCUAGGGUUGUCUAUUGAUUAGGGAAAUAACCAAUGGUCGUACCUUGGUUAUCGACUAGUUAAGGAGAGAUUGGCUAUUAGAGGGUCUCAGUAGCUAUAACCGGUCUAUUCAUAAGUAAUAAUAAUUUAUAUUUGAAUAAAUGAUCAGUAUCGAAUCAAGCUGAGUUAAUUCCUUCAACCAGAGCUUUCUCUAAUUUGAAUCACAACUUUAAUUUACAUUCUUGUUAUUUUAAUUUGAUUUUUAUUAUUGUCAACAAAACCCCCAUUUUAUGUUUUAUGUUUUAAAAGGAUUUAAAUAAUUACCGAUCUCUGUGGACACGACCCUGCUCAAUCACUAUACACAAUUUAUUUAGAGUAGAAAUUUAUUUUUGUUGGCUUCGACAACCAUCAUAUAUGUACUAUAUUGUCAGUGCAGGUAGGCUAAUAAUUUGAUGGUUCUUGGCAAUUUUUCCUUUAGUACGGCAUUCAUAUCGGCUGCUGCUUCUUUUUUAUUUUUUAUUCAGUACCUUAUUACUGUCUUGAUUUGAUCAAACGAUCAUGUCUUUAAUUAACAAAAUUUAAUAUAAUAGUUGUAAAAGAUUAAUGCAGCAUUCUCUUUUUCCAAACCUGAAAGGAUAUGAUUUGGAAAAAAAAUUCAUAUAAUUGAUGAUCAGGUAUUAGUGAUUUUGGCACCAGUACAAAAGUCUGCGAACUUUUUGUAUUUUACUUUUCAUAAUUUCCAUAUAUUCUCUAAUUUGUUUUGGGUAAAAACCCCGAAUUUAGUUGAAGAACCGCUUAAAAUUACAAAUUAAUCUCUCAAAGAGUUCUCUAACAAUAAUCAACUUUUUGAAGCAUCGAGCUAUCACAUGGGGUGCCAUAUAACUACAGUAAAAAAAUAUCAUUAGUCAUCAAAUAUGUGCCAACAAUAUAAUUGGUAAAUAUUAACUAUCAUCAAAACUCAAUCACAAUGCUAGAGGUGGCGUAAAAGUAAUUUGAAAUAGAAAUAUCUUUAAUCAAGUUGUUGAAACAUAAAAAUAUAUUAAACAUGUGUGUUUACACGUAGAAUUUGCUUGGGAUUUUAGCUGCAUUUUGUAAAACUUUUCAAAUAGAAAUUAUUUAAUUAAAGCUUUUACAUUACCCGAAAAAAGUAAUUACCAAAAAUAUUUGAGUUGUUUGAUUGUCAACCAGAGUUUUUUUUUUAAAAUUUGUAUAAUUAUUUUAAUAGUCAAUUUUUUAUAGUUAUUUUAUAAAAGAAUGAAAUACAAUUAUCAAAUAUAAUUAAAAAUACUUUAGACGGUUUAACACUUUAAAAAAAAUUCACAAUGAAACUAUGGAAAAAUAAAAUUACCCCAACAAGAUUCUGUGCUCAACAUAGACAAAAGCAUGGUUAAUAGCCGGCAAGGAAGAAAGGGGUGGGAUUGGUUUUCUUUUCCUUUUUAUUUUAUUUUAAUGUAAUCUUUCAAUUUUGUCCUCCAUAAUAAAAUAUUUAAAUAACUUUUUUCUUAAUUUACAUGAUGUUUUGUACAAAGCGCUUGGUUUCAUGUUUUUGUACAAAUCGAUUUUGCCAAAUUCACAGAACUAUACUAACAAAAAAGAAUCCUCCAGCCAGCCUAUCAUAGAGAGUUUUAAAAGGAAUUAUGUUUAAUAAGAAAUUAUGCGGUUAUUCUUAUUUUUAAGGGAAAAGGACAUACACACCCCCAACGUUUAGACAAAUGGACAAAAAUCCCCCUAACGUUUUAAAAAAGACAUUUACACUCCCAUUCACUAACGGAAACAAUAACUUUUAACGAAAAUAGUAAUUUUAAUAUAUAAUUGCCGUUAUACCCUUCUAACAUAUAAAAAAAUAAUUAUUGAUUGUCCAUUUUACCCAUAUAUUGUUAAUAAAAUUACAAACAUAUUCUUUUUGUCCAAUUCUUCGAUUUAAAUUGUCAAAUUUUCUCUUCAAAACAAACAAAUUUAAUCAUUAUUCAAGAAUAAAAAUAAAUAAAUUUAAAUUUUUGUCAAAUUUUUUCUUCAAACCAAAUAAAUUUAAUUAUUAGUUAUUAAUGCCAUAAAAAUAAUAAUUCCAUUCUUAUUUUCCACAGUUGCAUAUAGAGUAAUUUAUUGUUUUCGUAUAUUGUAUAAUAACACAAUUAGUUGAAGAAUCUGACUUGAUUUUCAAAUUAACUAGCCAUACAUCAGUAAAUUUAAUCAUUACUCAAAGAAUAAAAAUAAAUAAAUUAAAAUUUUUGUUAAAUUUUUUCUUCAAACCAAAUAAAUUUAAUCAAUACUCAAAAAUAAAAAUAAAUAACACUAGUAUAUGCCAUAAAAAUAAUAAUUCUCCACAUGUCAACCGAAAAAAAAAUGGUUACAACAAUAUUCACAAAAAAAAAAAAAUUCUAUCUCCUUCUUCACUAUCUUCACAAUCCACUUCUUCACCGCCUUCAAUAUGCCCAACAUCCACUCCAUCGUCAUCCCAAUUUAAUCCAUUUUCAUCAUCAAUAGGUGUUAUGUCUUCAUUAUCGUCAUUUGACCAAUAUGCUUCAUCAUCUUCUUGUUCAUUUGACCAAUAUGUUUCAGAUUUUGGGAUGAGUGAUCAACCUGAGACUUCAGAUCUGUGUCAUGCAGGCCACUAUUUGUUGCCAUCUGCACACCAGUACAUGCUUUUCAUUGGUAAAUUAAGCACGAAAUUCACAUGCUUCAUGACCAUAAUACACUACCCAGGUGAAUAUUCUACCCAAAUAUUGCAUAUAACCAAAUAAAUUGAUUCCUUUGUUCCAUGUACAUCUAAAAAUUAAUCAAAACAAUAAAUAAUAAAAAUAACUACCAAUAAAUAUCCAAUAAGCCAGACAAAUUAUCAUCAUCAUUAUACAAAAUGGAAAUUAUAAAAAUAAUAAUAAUCCUAAGUGGCUCAAGCAAACAAAAAAUACCUAGUUCCAGCAUCUUCCGGCGGGAGCAGCAGCACCAGCGGCAGUCUUCGAUCGCGAGCAGUUCCAGUCGCUUCCAGCGGCGCGCACGACGCACGAGCAGCAGCACAGUCGCGGUAUCGAUCGCGAUCGCAAGCAGUUCCAGCAGCAGCUUCCGGCGGCGCGCACGACGCAAGAGCAGCAGCACCACCUUCCUGCAGCUUCCGGCGAUUAGUAUGAGUGUGUGUGUUAAAGGUUUGUAAGAUCUGGAAAGUGUGUCGCUUUGUGUGUUCAGUGUGUGUGUGUUUUGUUCGUUUAAGUGUGUGUGUGUUUUGUUCGUGUGUGUUUGUGGGUUUUUUGUCAAUUCAUUUGUACUAAUAUGUAAUUACAAUAUUAAGCUUUAGAUAAGUUAACGAAAUAGUUUCAGGAGGUGGAAAUGUUUUUUUCAAAACGUUAGGGGGUUUUUGUCCCUUUGUCUAAACGUUGGGGGUGUGCUUGUCCUUUUUCUUAUUUUUAAUGCACAACUUGUUCUGCUCUCAAUGUUACAGCUUACCUUUGCGUUCUGUCUUGUUGCAAUCCAAGCAAAGCCUUACCGUUGUUCAGUAUUUUUUUUAUGAUUAUCCUUCAGCUUAUUCCAAUGUGGCAUCAUGGAACCAGGAAGAAGAAAAUAGCGACUGCUGCUUAUGGGACGGCAUCAAAUGCAAGGAAGACACUGGUCAUGUGAUCAGGCUUGAUCUCACAUGCAGUUGCCCCUAUGGUUCUAUCAAUUCUAGCAGCAGCCUCUUUCAACUUGUCCGUCUAGAAUGGUUUGUUCUCUCCAAUAACCACUUCAACUUUUCUGAAAUCCCUUCAGAAAUCAAGAACCUGUCAAGACUAACAGCUCUCUUUCUCUCUCUCUAAUUCUUCGUUUUCUGGUCAAAUUCCAGCCGAGAGAGCUAGUUGGAGAGUCUUGAUCUAUCAUUUAAUAAUUUUCAUCUGAAGCUCCAAAGCCCGAGUCUAGCAAAUCUAGCUGAGAAGUUAGCCAACCUAAAAGUACUUCACCUUGGACAAGUCGAUACUGCUUCUACAGUUCCUUAUGCAUUGGCAUAUUUAUCAUCCUUGUUUUCUUAUCUCUCACUGAUUGCAUAUUGCAAGGUGAAUUCCCUGCAGAGAUUUUCCAGCUACCCAAACUUGUAUUUCUCGCUCUGACGUAUGAUCUCUAUCUCACCGGAUAUUUGCCAGAAUUUCAGAAUAGCAGUGUCCUUGUAGAUUUGAGAAUUUCACAUACGAGAUUUUCAGGUAAGAUUCCGGAUUCAAUAGAAAAUCUUGAAUCCCUAUAUUCCUUGGGUAUUAGAGGUUGCUCAUUUUCAGGAAAACUUCCUUCCUUCACUUGGUAAUCUUACUAAACUCAAUGAUCUAUACCUUUCUGGUAAUGAUUUUUCGGGUGAGUUGCCUGUUUUCCUGGGAAAACUUUCUGUUUUUGAAAACGCUAGAAAUCAUUUCAUGCAACUUCUCAGGCAAAGUUCCGGAUUCACUUGGUAACCUUUUGCAGCUGAAUUAUUUAACUGGUGAGAUCUUAGUUCUGCUCUCGAAUCUAACACAACUUACUCAAUUAAAUUUGGCUCUUAACCAGUUAUCUGGUCCAAUCCGGUUUUGCUUGUUGAACCUUAGCAAAUUAUCAACUCUGUACUUAUAACAUAAUAAACUGACAGGGCGUAUGCGUAUUCCAGUUGAAAUUAGAAAGCUAACCCAAUUGCACAUUCUGCGCUUAGCGGAGAAUCAAUUGGAAGGCUCUGUUCCUAGCUCUAUCUUUGAGCUAAGGAAUCUUCAAGCGCUUGACCUAUCCGACAACAAUUUGAGUGGCACAGGGGAUCUAAACUUUGUCCUUCUUAACAUGGAAUCUUUAACAGCAUUACUUCUCUCGUCAAACAAGUUGUCAUUGCUCACUGGAACCACUGUCAAUACCAAUUUGCCAAAUUUCACUAUAAUAGGGUUCAGUUCAUGAAACCUUAGCGAGUUCCAUAUUUUUUUGCACAACCAAGAUCAAUUGCUAUCUCUGGAUCUUUCCUCCAACAAGAUAGCUGGCCAGGUACCUCAAUGGUUGUUAAAUGUAAGGAUAAAUAGUUUGGAAUAUUUGAACUUUUCUCACAAUCUGUUGACAGGCUUCGAGCAGGAUCUCUUUGUUCUUCCAUGGUCUAAAAUGAAUACUUUAGACCUUAGUUUUAAUAAGCUGUAAGGACCACUCCCAUUUCCAUCAUCAGUGUUUGUCCAUUCCUAUCUAGUUUCAAACAAUCAGUUGACAGGGGAAAUUCCACUCCAAAUAUGUUGUUUGAGUGGUCUUUACGCUCUUGAUUUCUCUUACAACAACUUCGUUGAAUCUUGAUUGGAAUCAGUCAACCAAGAAUCCUCACGACCUUUCUAAACUCUCUGAUAAUUGAUAUAGAAACAGCAACUAAUCACGCAAAAGCAAAAACAACUCAAAAACCUGCAAGCUAAGAACAACAAUUUAUGGUGGUUCGGCCUGGAGAUGGCGUAUAUCCACUGAAGAACAGAGCAACAGCUUUUAUUCAAUCACUGAGAACAAAAUACAACCUUAAAGACAAAGUUACAAGCAUUUCACACUAUGAUUUCACUUCCCUUAAGGCUAUAUAUACACGCUUAAGAGCCUCCAGAAAGAUCCCCUGCCAGCCAGCUGUAUUCUGGGUUUGUUGUAAACAAAACCCAGAAUUUUCCCGCUUUCAUAACCGAAAAUAACAAGCUUCUAGACACGUGUUUCCUUCACGUUAAACAUAGGCCCAAAACGACAGUAAAUAAUGCAGUAUAGGAUAAGUGACUGCACAUGACAAGCACAUGCUCAACUUAUUCAAAUGUUACUGACAAAAUAAUAUUGUCAUACGGACUUAUAAGUUUUUAAGUCGACAUGUCGUAUUGCACCAAAGCUUUAAACUGACAGAACAUCUGAUCUUCUGGAAACUAGCUUCAAAGCUCACACCUAACGAACUUCAGUAGCAUGGUUCCCAAAUGUUUGGGCAACCUCUGUGAUAAGUUGCCAGUGUUAAAAAUGCAAGCUAACAACUUUCAUGGAAUCAUUCCUGAAACCUUCGUGAACAGAACAAAUUUGAGUGAUUGAUUUUGACAACAAUUCAUUGCAAGGAAGAGAACCUAAAUCCCUAGCCAAUUGUGUGAAGCUAAACUUUCUUAAUCAUGGGGAUAGCCAAAUAACUGAUGUCUUCCCUUCUUGGUUGGGAACUCUGCCAGAGGUAGAGGUUCUCAUUUUGAAAUUCAACAACUUUCAUGGAGAAAUAGAGGAACCUCAAACUGCUUUUGAGUUUCCCAAGCAUCGCAUCAUUGAUCUCUCUCAUAAUAGGUUUACAGGUAAUCUUCCAUAAAAGCACUUCUACCGCUGAAAUGCCAUGAAAGAUCUCAAAGCAAGCAAGUAAGCUAGCCAUGAAAGAUCUCAAAGCAAGUAAGCUAACAUAUUUGCAAGUUAAACCGGUGGCGCAUGAUUUAGAUGCGUUUACCAACUAUGGUUCCACCGAUUACUCACUAACAGGCCAGCUCAACCAUAUUUGGGGACAAAUGGUUUUAAUUAAUUAUUCUUAAAAUUUAAGACAAAAAAUAUAUAUAUUAUUUAUUGAAAUCAAUUCUUUAAACACUCUAAAAUGUAAAAAUUAUUAAAUAAAAUUCUAUUCUACUGUUGGUAAUCCAUGAAAUUUUAAUUCAAUUAUAACAUUUUCACUUAUUGGUUUUUUUAACUCAAAUUACAUCUUUUUUACUACUUCCUUUCUAGAUUAAACUAAUUUUUCUGUUCUUCUAUUUUCUAAAGUUUUUCGAUAUAGUUUUAUUUCAAAAUAGAUAAAACAAGCACACACAAGAAAAGUAGAUGAAUAAAAGAAUAUAUUAAAAAGAAAUAAGAACAAAUAAAUAACCCAACUAAUUAAGAGAAUAAUAAAAAGAUAAAAUCUGGAAUUUGAGAUGAAAUCAUAAAUUAACUUUAUCUUUAUAAUAAUUGUUUGAGAAUUUGAGUGAUGACCAAUAGCCAUAGAGAAUAGAGAAAAUGAUUAGAUUUUUUCUUUUUUUUUCUUGAGUGGAAAGCAGAGGAAGCAAGAUUUUUUUCCCUCUCUCUCUCUUUCUUUCUCUCAAACACCAAGAACAUAUCGUAUCUUGAUUGUUGGAGGAAAAAUUUAAUGGAUAAGUAAUAAAAUGUGGGGCUUUUAUAGAGGCUUAAAAUGAACAUAAAACUUUUUAAUUAUAACAUAUUAAUUCUAACAAUGAAAUAGAGUUUGUAGGAUUGAAACUAUUAAUUUAUCGGUUUUGUAAGAAUUAAAACUAUUAAGUACUAUAUUAAACAAACUUUAUAGGAAUUUGAUAGUUUAUUUAAGAAAAGAUAAUUACAAAAUAAUAAUAAAUUAAAUGAAUAAUAAUGACUUUUAAAUUCAUUUUCUCAUUUUAUAUACAAAAUAAUCAUCUCAUGAGGUCUUUAUAUAAAGCGGGACCCUAGGCAACCGCCUAAGUUGCUUAGAGGUCAAGCCCCUACUGCUAAUAAUGAGAAACAAAGGCAGAGAUAGAAUAUCCCAAGCUGUCAAAUUUGAUCACAGCAAUUAUUCUCUCCGACAACAAUUUUGUUGGAGAGAUUCCAACAUCAAUCGCCAAUUUAAAGGGGCUUCGGACUCUCAACCUUUCCAACAACAAUCUCCGAGGGUACAUUCCAUCAACUUUGAGUAACCUAACCGUGAUAUAGAGUCAUUAGACCUCUCUCGUAACAAGCUCACAGGACAAAUUCCUCAGCAAGUAGCAGACCUCACAUCCCUUUCAUUCUUUAAUGUGUCACACAACCAUCUGAGUUAAAGAACAGAAAAUAGUUGUUUGGCUUAUGAGAAAGUUAAAGAAAAGAAAUGAGAUCUGGAAACUUCAACUUUAUUCAAUUCUUUUGUUUUCUGGAACUAUAACCAUCUACUAAUCGAUUACAUGUAUAUAUAUACAAGUGCAGCUGCUCGGCUGAAGUUUAACAAACUAACUAACUAUUUACAAAUUGAUUAAAAAAAUUAUCACGUGUAUAUGUACAAGCAGCUACAUAACCACCUGGUGCCAGCUGGCAGUACAUGUCAUCAACUUGUAACUGAUUGUAGAAGUUUCUAUGAUCCUCUGCUCUGUUGCAAAUAUGAGCCUCCUUAACAAUCUGACGGGAGUAAUACCACAAGCGACACAGUUCAGCACAUUCACGAAUGAUUCGUUUGUUGGAAAUCCAGGAUUGUGUGGAGAACCUUUGCCUAGAAAAUGUGAAAACUCUGAUGCUUCCCCAGCAGAUGAUGAUCUAUACUCAGAAUCUGUAAUUGCAUUUGGGUUGGAGACGGCGCUAGCAGGAUGUGCAAGUAGGACAAUAAUAGGAGUGGCACUUGGGUACAUCUUCUCCACGAAAGUAUGAAUAGCUUACGAAGACUUUUCGACUACGACCAGAAAGUAGUGGAAGGAGGAGGAUGUUUGAAAGCUUAAAAGAACAGACUGUUUGGUUACUGAGAAAAGAAAAAAAAAUGUAUUUAAGGUGCUAAGAAAAUUUGUAAAAGACUUAUGAAUCAAAUGCUUUAUUUCAUUUUUACUUAAUAAUAAAAUGAUUACAAGAUGCUUGUAUUUAUACUCAGCUGUUUACAGCUUAACAGAAAAUAAAGAAGCUAACUGAAUAUGAUCUCAACGUGUGUAACUAACUUCAGCUGAGCUGGCACUUCACUCUUCAAUUGAUUCAGCUGACUGUAUUCAUCUCACACGUGUGCUGCAUCCUUCCAUGCAUAAUGAGCUUCCUUGACAGCCCCCCUCAAACUCAAGGGGCAUGGUUGCACAUUGAGUUUGUCUCUGAAAUAAUUGAAAUGAAUGAAUGUCAGAGGCUUUGUCAAAGCAUCAGCAAUUUGCUCCUCGCUGGGAAUAUAGUUAAUCUCUAACUCCUUUGCCAAAACUUUGUCUCUAAUAAAGUGCAUAUCAAGUUCAAUGUGUUUAGUCCUUGAAUGAUAAACUGGAUUCUUGGCCAACUCUGUUGCACUUAUAUUAUCACACCAGAUAGUUGGUAAUGAAGUACACUUAAUGUUGAGUUCACUGAAUAAUGACUGGAUCCAUGUUAUCUCUGCACUUGCAGAAGCCAGAGCACGAUAUUCACUCUCUGCACUGGAUCGUGUAACCACAGCCUACUUCUUGGAUGACCAUGAAAUUAGAUUGUUUCCAAAAUAAAUGCAAUAUGCUCCUAUUGAUUUCCUGUCAUCAACAUCACAUGCCCAAUCUGCAUCUGUAAAUCCUGUGAUCUUCAUUUCCCCACCUGCUGAAAACUUCAAACCAUGAUCUGCAGUUUCCUUAAGGUAUCUAAGAACUCUUUUACAAGCCAUAACAUGCUGGAGUGUUGGAGCUGUCACAUACUGGCUCAACUUAUGCACAGCAAAUGCUAUCUCUGGUCUGGUUAAUACCAGAUAUUGUAAACCUCCAACUAAGCUUCUAUAGCUUGUUGCAUCCUCAAUAUAUUGACCCAAAUAGCCUUUAACUUCUUUCUAAAGCUUUGUUCCAGUAACUAUGGGAGUGUCACAGCCUUUACAAUUUUGCAUAUCAGCUUUGGAUAACAAAUCCAAGAUAUAUUUCUUCUGAGAUAGAUAGAUGCAGUCUUCAGCAUAGGAAACUUCUAUCCCCAGAAAAUAUGACAGAAUUCCCAAGUCUUUUAAAGCAAAAGUCUUACUGAAUUCUGAGAUGAAUUUUUCCAGCUCACCAUUAUCAGGUCCUAUUAUUAGAAUGUCAUCAACAUAGAUUAAGAUAAGUAUCAUUGAACCCUGCACUUCUUUGAAGAAGAGAGAGGUAUUAGCCUUUGAAUUCUGAAAUUUCCAAUUAGCAAUAAGACAAUUCUUAAGCUUGUCAUACCAAGCUCUAGGAGCUUGCUUCAAGCCAUACAAGGCUUUCUUCAGCUUACAUAUAUGAUUGGGUUUUUGUUGAUCAAUAAAACCUUCAGGCUGAUACAUAUAGACAUCCUCUGUCAAGUCUCCAUUCAAGAAGGCAUUAUUCACAUCUACUUGCCUUAUUUUCCAUUUAUGCAUCACAGCUAAACUCAGAACAAUCCUUACUGUUGAAGCUUUUACAACUGGGCUAAAGGUCUCAAAGUAAUCCACACCUUCAGUUUGCUGAAAACCUUUGGCAACCAACCUGGCCUUGUGUUUGGCUAUGCUUCCAUCAGUAUUUUGCUUAAGUCUAAACACCCAUUUGUUGUCAACUACUUUGUAUGCAUUUGAAAAUGGUACCAGUGACCAAGUCUCAUUCUUUAUCAAAGCUUCAUACUCAUCUACCAUGGCUUGAUGCCAAUUCUGACUACUAAGAGCUUCUUGAACUGUACUGGGUUCUUUGUUGGCUAAGGUGACUGUAUAGACCUUUGGUUUGAAGAUUCCAGAUUUUGAUCUGGUAAUCAUUGGAUGAGAAGAUGGUUGGGAAUGAUUUCUGGUUUGAAUUUGGUCUAUGUUCUGUGGAAUGGAAGUUUCCUCUGAUUGUAGAAUGGAUGAUUGUACUGGUAAUGUGUUUGGUGAUGGUGAGGUUGAGGAUGAUAACUCUAAAGAUGUGUGUGAUGGAUGUUCUUGUUGAUUCAGAAUAUCUGUAUGUGUGGGAACAGAGGGCAUUUGUUCACUUCUUGCUGAGCCUGCUGAUUGAAGACCUUCAAAGCUGCUGUUGGGUAAGGCCAUUGUAGAAAGAUGAUAGAUAUGUUGUUGAGAGAAAUUAGACACUGAGGUUUCAGAAGAUAUGGGGUUUUCUGAUGAGUGAGAUGUAGUGUUUAUUGGAUAAGGGAAUGUGUUUUCAUCAAAAAUGACAUGUCUAAGAACAUAGACUUUGCCAGAACUUGCUAAGCACUUGUAUCCUUUAUAAGAGGGAUUGUAUCCAAUAAAAAUGCAUUUAGAGGUGUGAAAAUCAAACUUAUGUUUAUUAAAAUCUCUCAAGUAUGGGUAGCAAAGACAACCAAAACACUUCAGGAAUGUGUAAUCUGGUUUGUGUUUGAAAAGUUUCUCAUAAGGAGACAAGAAUUUCAUAACAGGGGUAGGUAAUCUAUUAAUAUGAUACACUGCUGUAUGAACAGCUUCCCACCAGAAUUGAAGAGGAAGGUUUGCUUGAGCCAUGAGGGUUAAGCCUAACUCAACUAUAUGCCUGUGUUUCCUCUCAACAAGACCAUUAUGGUGAUGAGUGUAAGGACAUGAGUGUCUAAACAUUAUUCCAUUUUGAUUCAGAAAAUCCGUAAAUGCUCUAAACUCUCCCCCAAGAUCAGAUUGUAGCUUCUUAAUUUUGGUAUUAAACUGAUUCUCAACUUGAGUUUUGAACAAUUUAAAAACUUCAAAUGCUUGUGAUUUGAGCUUAAGAGGAUAGAUCCAAGAGUAUCUAGUAUAAUCAUCCACAAAACUAAUGUAGUAUUUGUAUCCAUCUCUAGACACAGUAGGUGAAGGCCCCCAAAGAUCAGUAUGAAUCAAUUCUAAUACCCCUUUUGUUUUUGUUUCAGUUAUUGAGAAAUGUUGCUUAUGGACUUUGCCUAGCUGACAUGCUUCACAUAAAGUAUUUGCAGAAGAUAACAUGUCUUUUGGAGAGACUUUAAACUGUUUACAUGAUUUGAGCAAAUGUACCAGUGUCAUUGAACUUGGAUGACCAAACUUUCUAUGUAACAAAGUUAUCAUAUCAGGUUUGACAUUACACUUAUUUAAAACAGACUGAUAGCAAGCUCGAGUACUGUUAUCACAGUGUUUGAAAGUAGAUAACAUAGAAACUGGUGGUAGAACUCCUUUCUUUGGCAGAGGAAAUAUGAAUUACUCUCCAAGAAUGUUUAAUGGAGGGGUUAGAAAUGGAUAUGGCAGAGGAUUUUUUCCUGGAAAUAACUCAGCUGAUUUCAAUCAUUUUUCAGUUCCUAGGUACUGGAUCCUUUGUUCUAGAUCAUACAAGUUUUAUUUCUCUUUCUUUAUGGAGUGAAAUAUUGUGUGUAUGUAUUUCUUCUAUAACAAAAUUUGUUUUCGGACAAAUUGCGUUCUUCUGUGCUAGAGAAAGCGAGUUCUACCACCAGAAUAACCUCCUCGUUUAAAACUUCCUCUAGGCUGUGCAAAAUAAGCUCUAGGAUAAUAUGCAUUCGUAUAUGCAUAGUUUGCAUUAAACAUACUUCUGUCACCUUGCUCCUGCUCUAAUCUAGUCUCAUGAGUGAGUAACAGUGCAUAAGCAUCAUCAAAUUCCAUUCGUGAACCAGUUAUAAAUGUAGCAAUAUCACGAAAUCCUGGUCCUAAUCCAUUAAGAAUAGUUAACAUAAGAUCCUUCUCUGUAAUUGAACUACCAGCACUAGCUAGCUUAUCAGCUAUUGCUUUCAUUUUAAUACAAUAAUCUUCAACACUAAGAGCUUCCUUUUUAAGAGUGUUUAGUUCAUAUCUGAGCUGAAGAACUCGAGCUUCAGAUUGAACUCUAAAUUUCUUUUCCAAAGUUUUCCAUAUAUCAAAUGAACUCUCACAAUUGAUAACAAGACCUAAGAUACCUUCACUUAAUGACGACAGUAGCCAGCCAAGAAGUGUCUGAUCCUGUGAUCUCCAGAUCUGAUAUUCUGGAUUUUCAAUUUGUUGUGUAGAUCCAUCUGCUUCAGUUAACAGAAGACACUUAUCAGGUACUGAUUUGACUCCUGUGACGAAAUCUUCCAAACGAUUGCCUCUUAUUGAAGCUAAAACUUGAGAGCGCCAGAGUAAGUAAUUUGAUCGAUCUAGCUUGAUAGGAUUAGUAAAGGAGAAGUUGAUUUGAGUAGAUUGAUUUGUGUUGUUUGUUGUUUGAUUACGAAAGCUUGACUGUUGAUUACUGGAACUAGCUCUGUAUGGCUCUGAUACCAUGUUUGAAAGCUUAAAAGAACAGACUGUUUGGUUACUGAGAAAAGAAAAAAAAAUGUAUUUAAGGUGCUAAGAAAAUUUGUAAAAGACUUAUGAAUCAAAUGCUUUAUUUCAUUUUUACUUAAUAAUAAAAUGAUUACAAGAUGCUUGUAUUUAUACUCAGCUGUUUACAGCUUAACAGAAAAUAAAGAAGCUAACUGAAUAUGAUCUCAACGUGUCUAACUAACUUCAGCUGAGCUGGCACUUCACUCUUCAAUUGAUUCACGAAAGUAUGAAUAGCUUACGAAGACUUUUCGACUACAACCAGAAAGUAGUGGAAGGAGGAGGAGACAUGGCAAAGAAUGUAAUUAAUAAGCUUUAAUUAAUUUAUUUAUUUAUUUUAUGAAUUACUCACUAAAGCCUUGAAGAAUUGUGUACUUGAAAAUUUUUCUUUCUCUUCCAAUUUCAAUAAAUCUAUUUAUACUAUGGUGCUAUUGCUAUGAUUCACGCUUCGGGCCUGUUUGAAAUUAUUUUUGAAAGAUUUAAAAGUGAUUUUAAAAAAAUUAAAAGUCGAUUUUAGUAUUUGAUAAACUUUCAAUAGGAUCAUUUUAUCCUAUAACAAAUUUUAAAAAAUGAAAAAGAGUAGUUUUUCAAAAUUUGAUUUUGAUAAUUCAUUUCAUAAUAUAUAUUAUAAAAAUCUAAAAUUAUCUUUUAUUCAAUUAAGAAAUAAAAUCAUUACAUUUAAAGAAAUUAUUAUUAUUUCCAAUUAUAUUGAGGUAAUAAAAUAAAUACAAUUAACUUGUUUUAAUUAUCAAUUAUUCUUUAUGCAAAUAAAAUAUUAUUAUAAAACAAGUGCAUAUAUAAAUAAUUUUUUUAAUUUAUGUCUAUUUAGGUCAUUUUAAUUCUUACAACAUUUUAAAAAUGAGAUUUACCAAACACUUUUAAAAAUAAAAUUUACUAAAUAUUUAACUAAUUUUUUUUACAACUGUUAUUUCUAUAACACAACUAAUAGAAAUUAUUCUAAAAAUUAUAACAUUACCAAACUAGCCGUUAAUCUAAAAACGCUUCGCAUAUAAUUGUUUGCCAAAGGCAUUAGUGAAUCACUUUGUGGCUGAUCGAACAUCAAUUAAUACAUAAAUCAUUGAGAUGAGUGGCACAUCAAUCAUAUACUACUACUUAAAGUCAUUCAACUUUGGUUCUCAUAUCCUCGUAACAGUGCUUGAGAAAAUAACUAAGGAGGAUGAAAAGACAGAGUGGCACCAGCUCUCUAUGUUCACAGUUUUGCUAAAAGUGCAUUUUGGCAAUGGCAUAAAAGUAACCAGUUUUAUCAAGUCGAAAAGCCAUUUUCUUUUGGCGUAGUUAGUUACUACCACAUCAUCCAAGAAUUUAUACAAGCCGAAUCUAAAAUUUGUGGCGUUUGUGGUUCAAAACUAUCAAAAAUUUCUUCUCAAGAGUUUCCAAUUUUGCGAUUUACUUUCAAAGUAUCACAGUAUGAAUAAAUGUCGAACACAGAAAUUCACCUGUCUUGAUAAGUCGAUUAUAUUUUCAGAAAUCCCUUACGGCUCACUCAGCUCCAGAAUCUGCAAAUAUAUCAACAUAUUAUUUAAAUGCAGACAGUUUGCAAAGAUCCUAAGUUCAUUUCUUCACAAAUCUUAAAUUUCCUUUUAUACGCCUAUUAUUAUUCUUCCUGUUUACACUGAUCACUAACUUACAAUCAAAUUCAAAUCAUUCAAUCUUACAAAAUUUUCUGUAGGAGUGAUUUAAUCUCUGUACUCUCUAGAUUCCAUCUGUAAUCAAUUUGUUCAAUAAAGCGUCAAGUACCUUGUUACCGAACCUCGUUACUUUGUUGCGUGUUGGUUCAUUGAUUUCUUCUUCUUUGUUCUUGGUUCUUUUCACCAGAGUUAUUUGAUUCUUCAAUUGUACUUGGUUGUUUGAGUUUGGUAACUGCUCUGAUUUCAUAACAAUAUUAUCUUUAUUUGUUUACGAAUUAUUAUCUUUAAAGCGUAGCUCAAAAAAAUCAACAUUAACAAUAAAUUUACAAUUGCCUAAGGGUAUUACGUUUGAAAAAAUUAUACUCGAUAAUGGAUAAAGCUAAAUAAAUAUCCCUAUUUUUAGAUAUUACAAAAAUUGAACGUAUUUAAGAUUUUUAAAUUAAAAAUAGUUUUCAAGCAUCAUAUAUAUCAAAUGUACACUGAAAUACCAGAAAUAUUAAAAACACAAUUCAAUUUUAAAUUAUAUUUCAAUUUUUAUUAACUCUUUUUAAAUCCUGACUAAUUUCUCAUGCCAACUGUUCUAGCUUUGUUGUCUAAGACCUGUAUGAGAAUGAAGAGACUUUAAGGUUUUGAACUAAUUCUAUAGACCUUCAAGUAAAAUGGAAAUUUUUUUGCUUCCGUUUUAUGUUUCUUGUGGCCUGGUUCGUUGUGGAUGGGAUACAAAUAAUCUUUAAGCCACGGAAAUUAAAAUUGAUCGAUCAAGAUGUUGAAGUGUAACAAUCGAUUCUUUAAUACACAAGUCUUCUGCCCUUGUCUUCACGUACGUCUUGUCGAUCUAACAAAGCCAAUUAUUCGGUGACGGCCACACUAGGGAACUUGACUAAUUGACUUGCACUAACAAGUCAUCAAUAAGUCCAUUAACGACUUCGUCUUUGAGUGCUUGCUUUUCCGGAUACCACCACAUACUCAUACAUCCUAGCUUCAAGAUAAAACAAACUUCUCCAUUUCCACACAAAAUGAUUCCACACUUGGAUAAAUCAGAACAUAGCAAUAAUUCAUUUGCAAUAAUUGAAAGUUGCCUAUAUAAAGCAUCGCAGCUUCACUACCAUUAUGCGCGCCAUAAAAGCAAAAUACCAUAAAGACACAUUUUAGAUCAAUUCCUGGGGAGACAAAUUAUGGGGUUAUCAUUACGUUUCUUUACCUUUAUGCACUUAGUUUCUUCCUUGUUAAUAUUUCACCUUGCAAUUGCUCACUUCACUUCUUCCAUGCAGCCACACACACUCUGCCAUGAUCAAGAUCGUUCUGCCCUGUUGAAAUUCAUCGAAAGCCUUACCAUUAAUAGGUAUGCUCCUAGAAAUCCUUUGUCUUAUCCCAAGGUUGCAUCCUGGAAUCAGGAUGAACAAAAUAGUGACUGCUGCUCUUGGGAUGGCAUAAAAUGCGAUGAGGACACUGGUCAUGUGAUCAGCCUUAACCUCAGUAGCAGUUGGCUCUAUGGCUCCAUCAACUCUAGCAGCAGUCUCUUUCAGCUUGUUCAUCUUGAAUGGCUUGCUCUCGCAGAUAACCAUUUUCAUUUCUCUGUAAUCCCCUCUGAAAUCGUCAACCUUUCGAGGCUGACACGUAUAUCUCUCUCUGGUUCUUUUUUUGCUGGUCAAAUACCUGCAGAAUUGCUAGAACUCUCGAGGUUGGAGGUUCUUGAUCUAUCAUCAAAUGACCAUCAUCUGAAACUCCAAAGUCCUGGUCUAGCAAAUCUAGCUGAAAAGUUAACCAACCUCAAACGACUUAACCUUACCGAUGUCAAUAUUUCUUCUGCAGUUCCUCCUACAUUCGCAAAUUUGUCUUCUUUAAUUUCCUUAUCUCUAAGUGAAUCCUUUUUGCACGGUGAAAUCCCUACAGAGAUUUUUCAAUUGCCCAACCUUCGAUUACUUGAGCUCGCGUACAAUUCAAAUCUCACAGGACAUCUACCAGAAUUUCAGAAAAGCAAUUCCCUUGAGCUUUUGAAUGUUGCAUUCUCGGGAUUUUCUGGUAAGAUUCCGAAUUCAAUAGACAAUCUUAAAUCAUUAUCUCACUUGUAUUUGCCACGCUGCUACUUUUCUGGAAAAAUCCCCCCUUCACUUGGUAAUCUUACCAAGCUCGCUCAUUUGUUCCUUUGGGGUAAUGGAUUUUCGGGAGAGUUGCCUACUUCCAUUGGAAAUCUAGCUUCUUUGGAAAUUCUAGCUAUCAGUUCAUGCAAUUUCUCAGGUGAAGUUCCAGCUUCGUCACUUCGUAAUCUAACCCAGCUUACAUGGAAUAAAGUAUAAAUUUAAUCCAAUACGGUUGCGUUUAUUUCUCGAAUUGAAUUGAAAAUCUUGAGGAUUGAAAUUCUAGGAUUGGAAGUGUGGAGUGAAAGUUAGAUGGGAUUGUUUAUUUACAUUGAAAUGAGAGUGUAGAAUGGAAAUUAGAAUUCUAUUUAUAAAUUUAUUUUGUCUUUAAUUAUAAGUUGUUUCAAAUUAUAAUUUUAUCCUUAAAAAAAAUUAAUUGAGCCUCUUAUACAUGAGAAUUUUGUAAAACUUCUCUUUUUUUUUAUUAAUAUAUUUUCAGAUUUAUAUAAAAUAAACUAUUUAUUUUUUAUUAAUUUUAACUAUACAAAUUAAUAAUAUUUAUUAAUAUUCUGAAUUAUGUAAAUCACUAUUUUUUAUUAAUUUUAAUUAUGUAAAUUAAAAAUUAUUGAUAAGAGCAACAAAAAUUAUUAUUAAUAAAAUAGUACAAAAUUAAUAUUUUCUAAGAAUAAACUAUUUAUUAUUUAUUAUUGGCAUUAAAUAAAUAUAAUACUAUUAAAAUUAAAUAAAUAUAUAGUAAUAUUAUUAAUUCUCUAUGAAUAUAAUAAUAUUAUUUUAAAACAAUUUUAACUUAGAUGAAAUAAAUUAUUAUUUUUAACUAAAUAUAAUAAUAUUAUAUCUAAAUAAGCUUAAUAUUAUUAUUUUUAAUAAUUGGGACAAAUAAUUUUUCAUCCCUAAGUUCUCGUUCAUUGUCUUGGAUCGCUGAUCUAAAGAAACUCACUAUUUUAGACCUUGUGUUAAGAUAGUCAAAUUGAUUAGUCACGUGCUAGUUAAUAUAGUUAGUUAAAUAGAAUCUGUUAUACAUGAUGACAUGGCUGCUUAUGUGGUAAAUUAGUUUUAGUUACUAGCUCAGCUGAUUUGCAUGUAAACAGAAUGAAGAAUAUUCCAGAUUGUAGUAUAUAAACAUGUGUAACUAAUCAAACGAUUUAAUGAAUAAGAAUCAAGUUCUUUCUUCUCUGCUUCUCUGAUUUUUCCUUUUCAUUUUCUUAGUAAACAAACAAACUCAUCUUUCUUAAUUUGGUAUCAGAGCCACGAUCUAAUGGCUGCUUUUAACUCAAAUCAAAACACAACAUCCUCAUUUACAUUCACCUCACUAGUUAAACUUGAUAGAACAAAUUAUACAAUCUGGAAGUCUCAAAUUCUCACUUCAGUUCGUGCUAAUGGCCUUGAAGAUUUUCUCGACAACUCAAAACUUUGUCCAGAACAAUUCUCAUCUGAUGGAGUUAUAAAUUCUGAUUCUGAUGCAACUGAGAUCACUACUGCUGAAGGAGUUCGAGAGAAUCCAGCCUUUGUUAUCUGGAAACGAAAAGAUCAGAUGCUGCUGAGCUGGCUGAUGUCCUCUAUCAGUCUAGAGAUUCUCAGUUUGGUGGUAAAUUCUAAAACCUCACUUGAACUCUGGAUUAGUCUUGAACAACAGUUUGGAUCUGAAACCUUUGCUAAAAAGGUACAUCUGAAAAUUAUGCUUAACAAUCUUAGAAAAGGAGCUAUGUCCAUGACUGAAUUUUUUGGAAAACUAAAGACAGUUACUGAUGAACUUGCUGUGGCUGGUAGUUCUGUUAGCUCACUAGAUUUUCUUACUCAUUUGAUCAGUGGAUUAGGCCAGCCUUAUUACCCUGUGGUAGUAUACAUUGAGGCAAAUCUUGCCAAGAUGUCUGUAAAUGAAGCUUAUUCUAUACUUCUGACUCAUGAGGCUAGGUUAGAGGCUAAUCAAUUGAACUCUAGUAAAGAAGCUAAAGUGAAUUUUGCAGCUAAUGUUGCUCAAACUGGACAGAAUACUAAAUCUGGACAGUAUAAUGCUAAUUGGAACAAAAAUCAAAAUGGUAAUGGUAAUGGAGGCAGAUGAGGUUUUGGUAGAGGUUUUUCACAAGGCCAAGCAAGAGGAAAUUGGAAUAAUGGCUGGAAUAGAGCAUCACCUAGUAACUAUCAAGGUAGAGGUGGUUUUGGUUUUGGAAAUGGAAAUUUUGCAAAACCUGGUGGUUUUCACAAUAGUAAUAGGAGAGGUAGUUCUGAUCUUAACUCUGUUGGAGUAAUUUGUCAGAUCUGUUUCAAACCUAAGCAUACUGCAGCUGAGUGUAGAAAUAGGUUCAAUAGAGAGUUCAUACCUUUCAACUCAUCAUCAGGAUAUAACUCAUAUCAAUAUCCAGUGCCAAGGCCUGCAUAUGCUAACUCAGCACCUAGAGCUGCUUUUAUGGCUGCUUCUGAAGGUGAUUUUGCUGAUCAAGGGUGGUACAUAGACAGUGGUGCAACUCAUCACCUCACCAACAAUCUACAGAAUCUGAGUCUUGCAAAUGAAUACUCAAGUAAUCACUUGCUGCAUGUUGGUAAUGGUCAAGGGCUGCAUAUAUCACAUGUUGGUUACACUGAUCUUCAUACAUCAUUAGACUCAAUCUUACACUUAAAAGAUAUUUUGUUUGUUCCUCAUCUUACCAAAAAUCUUAUAAGCAUCUCAAAGUUACUUGAAGACAACAACUUAACCAUUGAAUUUGUUGCCAAUAUGUGUUUUAUUAAGGACCAGAAGAAGGGAGUGCAUCUUGCUCAAGGGAUUGUUAGAGGAGGGCUAUAUCAGUUACUGUCAAAAAAGGAUUUCAUUUCCAGUUCUCACAGUCAUUCUCAGAUUCCUAGUUCCAUGCUUUAUGUUUUGAAUAAUUCAGCUUGUAAUCUCUUAGAUGAAGCUACAAAUAAAACUUGUACAAAUAAUAUUUUGUCUGCAAAUUUGUUACAUCAAAGGUUUGGUCAUCCCAGCAAACAUGUGUUGAAAUGUAUUCUAUCUUCUCUUUCUCUUCCUUGUCCAACAUCAAUGCCUGAUUUUUGUGAUGCUUGUCAAUAUGGUAAAAUCCAUCAGUUCCCCUUUUACUCAACAAGAAUAAAAACAAAAGCUCCUUUAGAGCUAGUCCAUACUGAUCUCUGGGGUCCAACACCCAUUCCUUCACUACAGGGCUAUAGAUACUACAUAAGUUUUGUAGAUGAUUAUAGUAGGUAUUGUUGGAUUUUUCCUUUAACCCUCAAAUCAGAAGCCUUAGCUACUUUCAAACACUUCAAAACUCUUGUUGAGAAACAAUUUGAUCAUCCUUUAAAGUCACUACAAUCUGAUUAGGGAGGUGAAUACAUAAAUUUUGUACAUUUUCUUCAAGAAGAAGGCAUAGAGUUUAGACAUAGUUGCCCUCAUACACAUCACCAAAAUGGUGUGGUAGAGAGAAAGCAUCGCCAUAUUAUAGAAACAGGGCUAACUUUACUUGCUCAGGCAAAAAUGCCCUUAUCUUUUUUGUGGGAAUCCUUUUAUACAGCUUCUUUUCUUAUCAAUAGGCUGCCAACACCUGUUUUGAAUAAUACCUCUCCUUAUACCAAGCUCUAUGGCAGAAAGCCUGAUUAUCAUUUUCUCAAAACCUUUGGCUGUUCAUGCUUUCCUUUUCUCAGACCUUACAGUCAACACAAGUUUAACUUUCAUACACAAAAAUCUCUCAUGAUUGGUUAUAGUCCUCUUCACAAAGGCUAUAAGUGUCUUGAUCCCACUGGCAAAACUUAUAUUGCCAGACAUGUCAAGUUUAAUGAAUCUGAAUUUCCAUAUUCAAAUCUUUUUCCUUCAUCAGAUCCAAAAGUGUCCUCGGUUCAGCAAAGUCAUUUCUCUAAUCCAUUCAUUACUUCCACAAUCCUACUCACUGAUAGUAACUGUGCACAGUCUUCUCUCAAUCCUCCAGCUCAAGAUGCAGGCCCUGAUUCAGGUAUCUUACAGACACUCUCUUCGUCUCAUUCUUCAGACACUUCUUCAUACAGUACACCACAUCAACCAUCUUCUUCUGUUCAGUUGCCAUCAAUAUCCACUCUUGCACCUCAACCAGCUCAAAAUAUUCAUCCCAUGCUCACUAGAUCCAAAGCUGGUGUAUUUAAGCCUAAAACUUACCUGGCUGUUACUCAGCACCUUGAACCACAUUCAGUUAAAGCAGCAUUGGUUGACAUCAAAUGGAGACAAGCUAUGCAGGCUGAGUUUGAUGCCUUGCAGAAAAAUAGCACCUGGUGUUUAGUUCCUAGAGAAAAAGCUGGGAAAAUUGUAGGCAACAAAUGGGUUUUCAGGGUGAAGUAUAAUCCUGAUGGUAGUAUAUCCAAGUAUAAAGUAAGGCUGGUGGCCAAAAGCUUCCAUCAAACACAAGGAGUAGAUUUCUUUGAAACAUUCAGUCCGGUUGUAAAUCUGAUACUUCAUUGUUCAUUUUUCACAAAGCUGGACAUUAAUAAUGCUUUUCUUAAUGGCCUAUUCAACAGCUGGACAUUAAUAAUGCUUUUCUUAAUGGCAUCCUUACUGAAGAAGUCUUUAUGCAUCAGCCUGAAGGUUUCAUUCAUCCUCAAUUUCUAUCUCAUGUCUGCAAGCUUACCAAAGCUCUCUAUGGUCUUAAGCAAGCUCCAAGAGCUUGGUAUGACAGAUUGAAAUGUUCUUUGUUGAAUUGGGGUUUCAUUGCUUCAAAAUCUGAUACUUCAUUGUUCAUUUUUCACAAAGCAGGAGAUAUAGUUGUUAUUUUAGUUUAUGUAGAUGACAUAUUAGUGACUGGCUCUAAUGAUCAGCUUGUUGAAAAAGUUAUUCAUCAUUUAAGCUCAGACUUUGUUUUUAAGGAUCUUGGGGAAUUCAACUACUUUCUUGGUCUUGAGGUUACACCUUCAGUUGAAGGUUUGCAUAUUUCUCAAACAAAAUAUGUAGGUGAUAUUCUCAAGAAAGCACAGAUGAUUGAGAGCAAAGGUUGUUCCACUCCCAUGAGUUCUACAGAGAAGCUAGUCAAAGACAAGGGUGUUGCUUUUGAAAAUCCCUCUCUCUAUAGAAGUAUAGUUGGCUCAUUACAGUAUCUUACCCUUACUAGACUUGAGAUUGCCUUCACAGUGAAUAAGCUGAGUCAGUUUCUUGCCAAUCCAUCAGUGCUUCAUUGGCAAGCAUGUAAACGAGUUCUGAGAUAUUUACAAUGUACAACUAACCUUGGUUUACAGUUUUAUGCCUCUAGUUCACUCACACUUUCAGCUUUCUCAGAUGCUGAUUGGGGCUUAGAUUUAGAUGACAGAAAGUCAAUUGGGGGAUAUUGCAUUUAUCUGGGGAAUAAUCUGGUCUCAUGGUCAUCUAAGAAACAACCUAUAGUUUCAAGAAGCACAGCUGAGUCAGAAUACAGAGCAUUAACAUUGGCUGUCUCUGAAACUUUGUGGAUCACUUACUUGCUGCAAGAGUUGAAAGUAACUCUAGCACAAACUCCAGUUAUCUACUGUGAUAACAAGAGUGCAGAAGCUUUAGCAAGCAAUCCCAAGUAUCACUCCAGAACCAAACAUAUUGAGUUAGAUUUACACUUCAUUCGGGAUCAUAUAGCUCAGAAAGAACUGCAGAUUAGUCAUGUUCCCAGCUAUGAUCAAGUGGCAGACAUUUUUACAAAACCUUUAGCUUUUGAUCAAUUUAACUAUCUAAGGUCCAAGCUCAAUGUCCUUUCACGACCUUGAGCUUGAAGGAGGCUGUUAAGAUAGUCAAAUUGAUUAGUCACGUGCUAGUUAAUAUAGUUAGUUAAAUAGAAUCUGUUAUACAUGAUGACGUGGCUGCUUAUGUGGCAAAUUAGUUUUAGUUACUAGCUCAGCUGAUUUGCAUGUAAAUAGAAUGAAGAAUAUUCCAGAUUGUAGUAUAUAAACAUGUGUAACUAAUCAAACGAUUUAAUGAAUAAGAUUCAAGUUCUUUCUUCUCUGGUUCUCUGAUUUUUCCUUUUCAUUUUCUUAGUAAACAAACAAACUCAUCUUUCUUAAUUCCUUGAAUCCAGCAAAUUAGUUGGUGAGGUCCCUCAUGUGCUCAUGAACCUAACACAACUUACUCAGUUAUCUCUAGCUUUUAAUCACCAAUUAACUGGUCCGAUUCCAUAUUGACUGAUGAACCUAAACGAACUAUCCCUUCUCAGCUUCAGAGGUAGCAAAUUGAGUGGCCAUAUCCCCAUUGAAAUUUCGAACCUAACCCAAUUGCAGAAACUGUAUUUUGCAGGGAAACAAUUGGAAGGUUCUAUUCCUAGCUCGUUCUUUGAGCUCAAGAAUCUUGUGGAGCUUGAACUCGCCGGCAACAAAUUGAGUGGCACAUUGGAUAUAAACAAGUUCCUACUUAACAUGAAAAGUUUAGAAGUGUUAGUUCUCUCGUCAAACAAAUUGUCACUGCUCACCGAUACCACUGUGAAUACCUAUUCCAAGAACUUCAGUGUUAUAGGCUUACGUUCAUGCAACCUUAGUGAGUUCCCACAUUUUCUGUACAACCCAAAACUCCUGGAUUCCUUGGAUCUUUCAUCCAACAGGAUAGCUGGGUCAGNNNNNNNNNNNNNNNNNNNNNNNNNNNNNNNNNNNNNNNNNNNNNNNNNNNNNNNNNNNNNNNNNNNNNNNNNNNNNNNNNNNNNNNNNNNNNNNNNNNNNNNNNNNNNNNNNNNNNNNNNNNNNNNNNNNNNNNNNNNNNNNNNNNNNNNNNNNNNNNNNNNNNNNNNNNNNNNNNNNNNNNNNNNNNNNNNNNNNNNNNNNNNNNNNNNNNNNNNNNNNNNNNNNNNNNNNNNNNNNNNNNNNNNNNNNNNNNNNNNNNNNNNNNNNNNNNNNNNNNNNNNNNNNNNNNNNNNNNNNNNNNNNNNNNNNNNNNNNNNNNNNNNNNNNNNNNNNNNNNNNNNNNNNNNNNNNNNNNNNNNNNNNNNNNNNNNNNNNNNNNNNNNNNNNNNNNNNNNNNNNNNNNNNNNNNNNNNNNNNNNNNNNNNNNNNNNNNNNNNNNNNNNNNNNNNNNNNNNNNNNNNNNNNNNNNNNNNNNNNNNNNNNNNNNNNNNNNNNNNNNNNNNNNNNNNNNNNNNNNNNNNNNNNNNNNNNNNNNNNNNNNNNNNNNNNNNNNNNNNNNNNNNNNNNNNNNNNNNNNNNNNNNNNNNNNNNNNNNNNNNNNNNNNNNNNNNNNNNNNNNNNUGUUGAAACGUAAAAAUAUAGUAAACAUGAGUGUUGCUUAUUUUAGCCUCUGUUUGAUAAAAUUUCUCAAGUAGAAAUUAUUUAAUUAGAGCUUUUACAUUACCAAAAGAAAAAAGUACUUACCAAAAAUAUUUGAGUUGUUUGGUUGUCAAAGAGAGAUGUUAUAAAAAAAUAUACAAUUACUUUAAUAGAUAAGUUUUUUAAAAUUAUGUUAUGAAAGGAUGAAAUAAGAUUAUUAAAUAAAUUAAGGAUACUUUAGAUAGUUUAACUCUUUAAAAAAAAUAAUUUACAACCUCUACUUCCAAAAUCAUAAAAUUUAAACUUUUAUUAAUGGAGGCAAAAUAGAUUAUCUCCAAAAUCUCUACUCAAAAUAUAACUAAACAAUACUAAAUUAAAAAAUAUAUAUAGAAUUAAAUGAAUACUUUUGACUAUUGGAUAAGUCAAAUGAAACAAAAAUAUGUACUGCUUUUUCAGAGCAGCGCCAGCUUUCAAAGCUUAGGCAAAUGGGUGAAGUUUUAAGUUUCAACCCCAAUCAUUAAGUUGAUGUAGUUAAGAUCAAUGUUUGACUCUCCAUUACCAAAAUCACAUUUUAUCAAUGCAUGCAAUAGUAGUGCAUCCAGUUGUCUUUGUAAUUCUUAAUAUUUUCUAAGAAAUUUAGCAGCCUUAAUUUAAACUAAAACUGUCGUGAUUUCGGAUAAUUUCUGGUUAACAUUAUGGACGAGUGGAAGUACCACAGUAAGAGUAUGUGAUCAACUUCAUAAUUUGUCUCCAGGUCUUACUUAUUACUUAAUUCUGGCGCACGCCAUUGACAAUUAAAAUUAAAGAAUCCAUGUGGUCAGGGGUCAGGGAUAAUCAUAAUUCAGUGUAGACAAAAAGCAUGGUUAAUAGCCAGCAAGGGAGAAAGGCUAGAUUGGUUUUCUUUUUCUUUUUUCUUUUAAAUGUAAUCUUUCAAUUUUAUCCUCCAUAAUAAUAUAUCUAUAUAAUUUUUUCGAAAAUUAUCUCUACCCCACUUUUGUUUUGUCAUAUGUAUAAUCUCAUCACCUCAAAAUUUUGCCAUAUUCUUCACACCACCUUUAUUUUUAAGUUUUUUUCAAUAAACUACUUUGACACUAUAAAAUGAUCAUUUUACCCUUAAAUGAAUGAAACAACUAUUUUAUUAUACAAAAUUUUAAAAAAUAAAAAAAAAUAUAAUUACAAGAAUACCCCUGAAUUUAAUAAAAUAAAUCUCAAAUCUAAUAUGUUAAUUUUUUUAUAAUUACAAUUUCAUUUAAAAAUUAUCAUGUUAAUUUUUUGUAAUUAUAAUUUCAUUCAAUUUCUAUAGAGAAGUUUCUUAAUAUUAAUUAUAGGGAAGUUUAUAAUAAUUAUAGGGAGUUUUUCUCUCCAUGUUAAUUUUGGUAAACUUCCCUAUACCUAAUUUAAUUAUAAAAAUUAAAUGAAAUUAUAAUUACAAAAAAUUAUGAUUGCAAGGUGUUAAUUUUUUAUAAUUAUAAUUUCAUUUAAAAAUUAUCAUCUAAGAUUUUGAGAUUUGUUUGUUUUAUUGAAUUUAGAGGUAUUCCUAUAGAUAUACUUUUUUAUUUUUUAAAAUUUUCUCGAAUAAAAUAAUCUUUUAAUUCAUUUAGGGGUAAAAUGAUUUUUUUUAGUGUAAAAGUGAUCAAUUGAUAUAAGUUUAGAAAUAAGAUAGUGAAAAAAAUAAUUUAAAAUUUUUUAAUGAUUAAAUAUACAUACGACAAAAUAAAAGUGGUUCAAAGAUAAUUUUCGUAACUUUUUUUUCUUAAUUUAUAUGAUGUUCUGGACCAAGCGCUUGUUUUCAUGUGUUUGUACAAAUCGAUUUUGCCAAAUUCACCGAAUUAUACUAACAAAAAAGGACCAUUUUCGUGACUAGCUUUAUUUUGAACCCAUGACAAUGGCUCUCUAUUCCAACUCCCGCAUCCACAAACCAUCGUUUUUUUUUUUUUUUGUUCUUCCAAAUCUCUAGAUACAACUCAUAGAAAGAACCUAAAAUUUACAUAAAAGAACGACAUGUGGUUGAUAGAUGCCCAGCACAAUCCCAUAUUUAAUUUUCUUAAGCAACCUUUGUACGUAUAAUAAUUUUGUUCCAACCAAGUUUGGGGGUGAAUUCUCAAAAGCCAUUUGGGUUGAUGCUAUCUCCUCUUGAUAGUAUAGACAAAAGCAUGGUCAAUAGCCGAAUAGGAAGCAUACGACACUCAGAAAGAACUUAAAAUUUUUUAAUCCUAAAAGAAGAUUUGAUUGUGAAUUAAUCCCAGUAACAUCACAUUUGGCACCGCCUAUAAAAACAUCUCAAUUCUAUGCCUGACCCUCCAAACAAAAUCCUCCAGCCUUCCUAUUAUAGAAAGUUUUAAAAGGAAUUGUGUUUAAUAAGAAAUUAUGGGGUUAUUCUUAUUUUCCUUCACUUUAAUGCACAUACUUCUUCUGCUCUCAAUGUUUCAGCACACGCUUGCUGACUUGCAGCCACUCUGCCAGGAUGACGAGCGUUCUGCCUUGCAGUAAUUCAAGCAAAGCCUUACCGUCGUUCAGUGUUCUUUUGAUGAUUAUUCUUCAGCUUAUCCCAAGGUUGCAUCAUGGAGCCAGGAAGAAGAAAAUAGUGACUGCUGCUUAUGGGACGGCAUCAAAUGCAACGAAGACACUGGUCAUGUGAUCAGGCUUGAUCUCACAAGCAGUUGCCUCUAUGGUUCUAUCAACUCUAGCAGCAGCCUCUUUCAACUUUUCCAUCUGGAAUGGCUUGUUCUCUCGAAUAACCACUUCAAUUUUUCUAAAAUCCCUUCAAAAAUCAAGAAUCUGUCAAGACUAACAGCUCUAUCUCUCUAAUUCUUCGUUUUCUGGUCAAAUACCAGCAGAGUUGCUGGAGCUCUCCAAGUUGGAGAGUCUUGAUCUUGUUAGAGAUAUAAAUGCAAAGAAUAUUCCCGUGAUGGUUCUGCUGAUGUGGCAGUUGAGUAAGCAAGGUUGUUAUUGUUACUUUGUAAGUUUGUUAUAGAGCUGGGAAAAUUAGUUAAUUACAGCUUAUUCUUUACACGUGUGUGAGCAAAUGUAGAAGGUUCUGGAUCUCAGUAUAUAAGCUCACUUUCUGUACUCAUAAUAAGUUGAAUAAGAUUUGAUCUGUUUUCUUAUAUUUUCUCUUAAUGCUCAUUAAAUUUUCCAUCACUUUCUCUGCAACCAAACAAGCACAAAUAGCUUGAUUAAACUUCAAUUUGGUAUCAGAGCUAGAUUUAGUCUAAUCUCAUGGCGUUAUCAAGCUUGAACACAAACAUCUCUUCUUCGGCAACAACCUUUACCUUCACAACUCCAAUAAAACUUGACCGAUCAAAUUACUUAAUCUGGAAAUCUCAAAUCCUAUCUUCAGUUCGAGCAAAUGAACUUGAGAGUGUGCUUGAUGGAUCCAGAAUCUGUCCAGAUCAAUUUCUCUCAAGCACUCAAGGAAAUUCAGAUGCUAUCUUCAAUGCUUUUGUAAGUUCAACUGUUGCUUCACGAGAGAAUCCUGAGUUUACUGUGUGGAGAAAGCAAGAUCAGAUGUUACUGAGCUGGCUAUUAUCCUCUAUCAGCAUUGAAAUCCUCAGUCUUGUGGUAAACUCUAAAACUUCUUAUGAAAUGUGGUCUAGUUUAGAGCAACAAUUUGGAUCUGAAACUGCUGCUAAGAAAGUUCAUCUCAAAAUGAUGUUGAAUAAUCUGAAGAAAGGAUCUAUGACUAUGACAGAAUAUUUUAGUAAGUUGAAGUCAGUUACUGAUGAGCUUGCUAUUGCUGGAAGUCCUAUUAGUUCUUUGGAUUUUAUAACUAAUCUCAUCUCUGGAUUAGGUCAGCCUUAUUAUCCAGUAGUUGUGUAUAUUGAAGCAAAUGUUUUAAAAAUGAGUAUUAAUGAGGCUUAUUCAAUGUUGUUGACACAUGAGGCACGUUUAGAAAGUAAUCAAUCUAAUGCUUUCAAGGAAGUGAAACAGAACUAUGCUGCUAACUUAGCUUAGGCUGGAAACAAUCAAAAGAAAAUUAAUAAUCAGGGAGGCUAGAAUAACAAUAAUCAAGGAGGCUGGAAUGGAAACACUGGAAACAAAACUAGAUUUAAUAAUUGGAAUGGAAAUUUUACAAACAGAGGAGGUUUCAAUCCAGGAAGGGGACAAAAUUCAGGCAGAGGACAAUGGAAUAAUAACUGGAAUGGAAAUCAAUGUAGAGGUAAUUUUGCUGGUGCUGCUGGAAAUUUUUCUGGUGGAUUUCCUGGUGGUUUUAAUGGAUUUGGAAGAGGAGGAGGCAAAGGAAGUAUUGUUUGUUAGAUUUGUUUCAAGCACAAUCAUACUGCAUCUGAUUGUAAAGACAGAUUUAACAGAAACUUUGUUCCAAAUUUUUCUGUGCAAGAGAAUUUUCCAGGUCAGAAUCAAACUUCCAAAGCUGCUUUCAUGGCUACAUUAGAAGGAGUUGCUGACCAAGGAUGGUAUCUGGAUAGUGGAGCAACACAUCAUCUUACAAACAAUGUGGAGAACUUAGCUGAAGGUAAACCUUAUUUUGGAUCUCAGUUGCUGUUAGUUGGUAAUGGACAAGGUCUUAGAAUCACUUACAUAGGCAAUAUAUGUCUCUUUACAUCCUUAGGUAAUCAGUUAAACCUUUCUAAUGUUCUGUGUGUUCCCAAAUUUACCAAAAAUCUCAUUAGCUUGUCUAAACUUCUCUCUGACAAUCAUAUAACCAUUGAAUUUGUUUCCAAUCUUUGUUUCAUUAAGGACAAGAUGCAAGAAACUUUGCUGGCACAUGGGAUUGCUGAAGAUGGUCUCUUUAAUCUACUGUCUCAAGAUACACCUAUUCCUGAUUCUAAAGCUUUGGGUUUAAAACCUAGUUCAAUGUUGUCUGUCUUUUCAAAUAAAAAGAUUGUACACUCUUUGAAAGAGUUGAAUAACCAAACAAAUGUCUGUUCCAAUUUGAUCAAUUCCAAUAAUGAGAAUUCUGUCAGUUUUUUAGCUUCCAGUAGUGAGUCUAUGCAGUUGUUGCACAAUAGGUUUGGUCAUCCAACCAAACAUGUUUUGCAAACAAUAAUGAAAAGUCUCCCCAUGCAUUCAAUCCAUUCUCAAUCUCUUAACUUUUGUGAUGCUUGUCAAUAUGGCAAAUUACAUCAAUUUCAUUUUCCAGUCACUGAUAUAAAAUUAAAAUUCCCUCUCCAACUCUUAUAUGCUGAUUUAAGGGGUCCAGCUUCUGUGUUGUCCAUGGAUGGAUACAAGUACUAUAUUUCUUUUGUUGAUGAUUUCACCAGAUAUUGUUGGAUAUUUCCACUCACACUCAAAUCUGAGGCAUUUGACACCUUCAAACACUUCAAGUCCCUUGUAGAAAAACAGUUUUCUUUAUCCAUCCAAACACUACAAACUGAUAUGGGGGGUGAGUUUAUAGCUUUCAAAUCAUUUCUACAACAAAAAGGUAUUCAGUUUAGAUAUAGUUUCCCCCAUACUCACCAUCAAAAUGGUGUGGUUGAAAGGAAGCAUAGGCAUAUUGUUGAAAUUGGACUUACACUCUUAGCUCAAGCUCACUUACCUCUCUCUUUUUGGUGGGAAGCUUUUCAUACAGCCACCUACUUAAUUAAUAGAAUGCCAACACCUGUUCUCAACAAUUUCUCUCCUUUUCAGAAACUAUACAAUCAGCUUCCAGAUUACAAAUUUCCUAAAGUGUUUGGUUGUUUAUGUUUUCCUUUUCUUCGACCUUAUAAUCAGCACAAGCUAGAUUUUCAUACUCAGAAAUGUGUCUUUAUUGGUUACAGUCCCAUUCAUAAGGGCUACAAGUGUCUUGAUCGAACUGAGAAAGUUUUUGUUGCCAGACAUGUUACUUUCAAUGAACAGGAAUUUCCAUAUUCUGAACUGUUUUUGAAAAACAAGUCAAACAUCUUCUCUCAUUCUGAUUUCUCCACUCCAUCUUCAGUUCAUUUUUCUCUUCCUCAAACACCUGUUCUCAGUAACAGUAGCAAUGAAGAGCCAUCAGCUACGUCUCCAGUCCUGCUUUGUCUUCUGCAUCAGAGUCUCAUUCCUUGCAAAAUUCUUUUCAUUCACAAUCCCUUGAUCUAUCUGCAAGACUUUCAAAUUCUUCUCCACCAGUACUCUCUACUCAUCAUAUGGGUUACCAGAUCUAAAGCUGGUAUCUACAAACCCAAAACCUAUCUAGCUGAUUCUCAAGACCUUGAAACCAUCCAAUGUCAAAACAGCAUUGGCAGAUCUUAGGUGGUACUCAGCUAUGAAAGAAGAAUUUGAAGCUCUCCAAAGAAAUCAAACUUGGUAAUUAGUGCCUCCAGAAACAGCUGGGAAAAUUGUUGGAGAUAAAUGGGUUUACAGAGUCAAGUAUAAUGUUGAUGGAAGUAUUUCCCGGUAUAUAGCUCGGUUGGUUGCCAAGGGAUAUCAUUAAACUUAUGGGGUUGAUUUCUUUGAGACCUUUAGCCCUGUGAUCAAGCCUUGUACUGUCAUAAUCAUUUUAAGCUUAGCAGUCAUGAAUCAUUGACCUAUUAAACAGCUGGAUGUAAAUAAUGCUUUUCUAAAUGGCAUUCUUGCUGAAGAUGUGUACAUGCAUCAAACACAAGGGUUUGUUGAUUCCACCUAUCAUUCUUAUGUUUGUAAGCUUAACAAGGCAUUAUAUGGUCUUAAACAGGCUCCCAGAGCCUGGUAUGACAGAUUAAAGGAGUCACUGGUUCAAUGGGGUUUUCAUGUCUCAAACUCUGACACUUCUCUAUUCAUUAAGCAUGCAGGGAAAGAUAUACUGCUCAUUCUCAUUUAUGUGGAUGAUAUUUUAGUCACAGGCUCAAAUUCGAAGCUCAUUGGCAAUGUUAUUCAGCAGUUACACUCAGAGUUUGCCUUGAAGGAUCUGGGGGAUUUUCAUUAUUUUCUUGGUAUAGAAGUUACUCCAUCUGUUCAAGGUAUUCAUCUCUCUCAAAAUAAAUAUAUUGGUGAUAUUCUUCAAAGGGAAAAUAUGCUAGACAGUAAAGGUUGUGCUACACCUAUGAGUACUUCUGAAAAACUGCACAAGGAUAAAGGUGCUGCAUUUGAAAAUCCAUCUUUAUACAGAAGUAUUGUGGGCUCUCUUCAAUAUGUUUUGUUAACUAGACCUGACUUAGCUUUCACAGUCAACAAGCUUAGUCAGUUUUUAUCAGCUCCCACCAUACUUCAUUGGCAAGCAUGCAAGAGGGUGUUGAGAUAUCUUCAAAGUAUAGCUGAUUAUGGUCUUCAGUUCUUCAACUUUGGUUCUUUAACUUUAAUAGCCUACUCUGAUGCUGAUUAGGGCUCAGAUCCUGAUGAUCGCAGAUCUGUUGGAGGUUAUUGUGUGUUUUUGGGUUCCAAUCUUAUCUCUUGGUCCUCUAAGAAGCAGCCCAUUGUGUCCAGAUCAUCAGCUGAGUCUGAAUAUCGGGCUCUUGCUUUGGCUACUUCAGAGGUUCUCUGGAUUACAUAUUUAUUUCAAGAGCUUAACAUAUCUUUUGAUCAGACUCCUCUUCUGCAUUGUGAUAACAAAAGUGCUAAACCUCUGGCUAGUAAUCCUAAAUAUCAUGCUCGUACUAAGCAUAUUGAGUUAGAUAUUCAUUUUCUCAGAGAGCAUAUUGCUCAACAGCAACUUUCAGUCACUUAUGUUCCGAGUUCAGAACAAUUAGCAGAUGUUCUUACUAAGCCCCUCUAUUUCGAUCAGUUUGCUUAUUUGCGCAGCAAGCUUAAUGUCAUUUCACGACAUCAAGCUUGAGGGGGGAUGUUAGAGAUAUAAAUGCAAAGAAUAUUCUUGUGAUGGUUCUGCUGAUGUGGCAGCUGAGUAAGCAAGGUUGUUAUUGUUAGUUUGUAAGUUUGUUAUAGAGCUAAGAAAAUUAGUUAAUCACAGCUUAUUCUUUACACGUGUGUGAGCAAAUGUAGAAGGUUCUGGAUCUCAGUAUAUAAGCUCACUUUCUGUACUCAUAAUAAGUUGAAUGAGAUUUGAUCUGUUUUUCUAAUAUUUUCUCUUAAUGCUCAUUAAAUUUUCCUUCACUUUCUCUGCAACCAAACAAGCACAAAUAGCUUGAUUAAACUUCAAUUGAUCUAUCAUUUAAUAAUUUUCAUUUGAAGCUCCAAAACCCGAGUCUAGCAAAUCUAGCAGAGAAGUUAGCCAACCUGAAAGUACUUCACCUUGGACAAGUCAAUAUUGCUUCUACAGUUCCUCAUGCAUUCGCAAAUCUAUCAUCUUUGUUUUUCUUAUCUCUCACUGAUUGCCUAUUGCAAGGUGAAUUCCCCGCAGAGAUUUUCCAGUUACCCAAACUUGCAUUUCUUACUCUGACGUAUAAUCACUAUCUCACUGGGUAUUUGCCAGAAUUUCAGAAUAGCAGUGUCAUCGUAGAUUUGAGGCUUUCACAUACGCGAUUUUCAGGUAAGAUUCCAGAUUCAGUAGAAAAUCUUGAAUCCUUAGAUUCCUUGGGUAUUAGAGGUUACUCAUUUUCAGGAAAACUUCCUCCUUGAGUUGGUAAUCUUACGAAGCUCAACCAUCUAUACCUUUCUGGUAAUGAUUUUUCGGGUGAGUUGCCUGCUUUCUUGGGAAAACUUUCUUCUUUGAAAAUGCUAGAGAUCAUUUUAUGCAACUUCUCUGGCAAAGUUCCGGAUUCACUUGGUAACCUUAUUUGUUGUCUUGGAUCCCUAAACUUAACCAACUCACUUAUUUGGACCUUUUAGGGAGCAAAAUAACUGGUGAGAUCUUAUGUCUGCUCUCGAAUUUUUCUGAACAAAACUCUUAUUCGUUGUCUUGCAUCCCUAAACUUAACCAACUCACUUAUUUGGACCUUUCAGGGAGCAAAAUAACUGGUGAGAUCUUAUGUCUGCUCUUGAAUCUAACAGAACUUGCUCAAAUAAGUUUGGCUCAUAACCAAUUAAUUGGUCCAAUCCCCUUUUGAUUUAUGAACCUGAACAAGUUAUCAACUAUGUACUUACAUUAUAAUCAACUGACUGGCCAUAUUCCAGUUGAAGUUAGAAAGCUAAACCAAUUGCAGAUCCUGCGUUUGGCGGAGAAUCAAUUGGAAGGCUCUGUUCCUAACUCUGUCUUUAAGCUAAGGAAUCUUCAAGCGCUUGACCUUUCCUACAACAUUUUGAGUGGCACAGUGGAUUUAAACAUGUUCCUUCUUAACUUGAAAUCUUUAACAUCAUUAGUUCUCUCGUCAAACAAGUUUUCAUUGCUCACUGGAACCAAUGACAGUACUAAUUUGCCAAAUUUCACUGUAAUAGGAUUCAGGUCAUGCAUCAUUAGCGAGUUCCCAUAUUUUUUGCACAACCAAGAUGAAUUAGUUUCUCUGGAUCUUUCCUCCAACAAGAUAGCUGGCCAAGUACCCCAAUGGUUGUUAAACGUAAGCACAAAGAGUUUGGAAUAUUUGAACUUUUCUGACAACCUAUUGUCGGGAUUCGGGCAGGAUCUCUUUGUUCUUCCAUUGUCUAAAAUGAAUACUUUAGACCUUGGGUUUAAUAAGCCCAAAGGACUGCUCCCAGUUCCGUCAUCAGUGUCAAUCUAUUCCUAUCUAGUUUCAAACAAUCAGUUGACCGGUGAAAUUCCAAUCCAAAUAUGUAGUUUGAAUGGUCUUCACGCUCUUGAUUUGUCGUACAACAACUUAAGUGGCAUGCUCCCAGAAUGUUUGGGUAAUUUCAGUGUUGAGUUGUCAGCACUAAAACUGCAAGCUAACAACUUUUAUGGAAUCAUCCCUCAAACCUUCAUGAACGGAACAAAUCUGAUGAUGAUUGAUUUUAGCAACAAUUCAUUGCAAGGAAGAGUACCUAAAUCUCUAGCCAAUUGUGUGAAGCUAAAAUUUCUUAAUCUUGGGGAUAACCAAAUCACCGAUGUCUUCCCUUCUUGGUUAGGAACUCUUCCAGAGCUGGAGGUUCUCAUUUUGAAAUUCAACAACUUUCAUGGAGAAAUAGAGGAACCUAAAACAGGUUUUGGGUUUCCCAAGCCGCGCAUCAUUGAUCUCUCUCACAACAGGUUUACAGGUAAUCUUCCGUCAAAGCACUUCCAUUGUUGGAAUGGCAUGAAAGAUAUCAAAGCAAGUAAGCUAACAUAUUUGCAGGUUAAACUCAUGCCGUAUGAUGUACUUGGGUUUACCUACUAUGGCUAUGCUGAUUACUCACUAAUAAUGAGUAACAAAGGGAUAGAGAUAGAAUAUCCCAAGCUGUCAAAUUUGAUCACAGCAAUUAUUCUCUCCGACAACAAUUUUGUUGGAGAGAUUCCAGCAUCAAUCGCCAGUUUAAAGGGGCUUCGGACUCUUAACCUUUCCAACAACAAUCUCUGAGGGUACAUUCCAUUAACUUGGAGUAACCUAACGGUCAUGGAGUCAUUAGACCUCUCUAGUAACUUGCUCACAGGACAAAUUCCUCAGCAACUAGUAGAGCUCACAUCCCUUGCAUUCUUUGAUGUGUCACACAACCAUCUUAAGGGAGCAAUACCACAAGGGACGCAGUUCAGCACAUUCACAAAUGAUUGGUUUGCUGGAAAUCCAGGAUUGUGUGGAGAACCUUUGUCUAGAAAAUGCAAAAACUUUGAGGCCUCACCAGCAAAAGAUGCUCCACCCUCAGAAUUUGUACUCGCAUUUGGCUGGAAGAUAGUUCUGGCAGGGUAUGCAAGUGGGACAAUAAUAGGAGUAGUACUUGUGCACAUCUUCUGCACAAGAAAGUAUAAAUGGCUUAUAAAGACUUUUCGACUGCAACCGGAAAGUAAUGGAAAGAGGAGAAUACAUAGGCAAAGAAUGUAAUUAAUUGGCUUUUAUUUAUUUAUUUAUUUUAUGAAUUACUCUGUAAAGACUUUAAAAAUCAUGUAGAAAUUUUUCUUUUUCUUCCAAUUUCAUUAAAUCUCUUUAUAUUAUCAUACUAUUAUUAUGAUUUCACAAUUAGAGUCCAUAUGAAAUUAUUUUUGAGAGAUUUAAAGGUGAUUUUAAAAAGUUAAAAGUUAAUUUUAGCAUUUGAUAAAUUUUUUUAAAAAUCAUUUUCGACAAAAUCACCUUGUCCUAUGACCAAAGAGUAGCUUUUCAAAAUCUGAUUUUAAAAAUUAGUUUUAUACUUAAACAAUUUCGUAUAUAUCCUAAUAUAUGUUAUAAAAAUCCAAAAUUAUCUUUUAUUCAAUUAGGAAAUAAAAUCAUUACAUUUAAAGAAAUUAUUAUUAUAUUGAGAUAACAAAAUCAAUAUGGUUAAUUUGUUUUAGGUACGAAUUAUUCUAUAUGCACAUAAAAUAUUACUAUAUACACGUUAUUAUAAAAUAAAUGCAUGGGUAAAUAAAUUUUAUAACUUUAUGUCUAAUUAAGUCAUUUCUAUUCAUACAGUAAUUUAAAAACGAGACUUACCAAAUAUAAAUUACUACUUAACUAAUUUACAAAACGCCUUUAAAAAUAAAAUUUACCAAGCUUUGACUAAUUUUUUUUACAAUUUUUUAACAACUAAUUAUUUCUAUAUCACAACUAAUAACAAUUAUUUUAAAAACUAUAACAUUACCAUUCUAGUCAUAAAUCUAAAAAACGUUUGUAUGUAAUUGUUUACGAAACCUAUUAGUUAAUCACCAUGUGGCUGAUCGAACAUCAAUUAAUACAUAAAUCAUUGAGAUGACAGGCACGUCAAACAUAUAGUAAAAUCACUCAAAUUUGGUUCUGAAAUGCCGUAAGAGUACUAAAUAAAAUAACAAAGGAGGAUGAAAACACAGAGUCGCACCGGCUCUGUAUGCUUACAGCUUUGCUAAAAGUGCAUUUUGGCAAUGGCGUAAAGCAACCAGUUUUAUUUAGUCGAAAUUUUAUCUCCGAAUAUAGAAAUUCAACUGUCUCAAGAAGUCGAUUAUAUUUUCAGAAAUCUCUCAUGGCUCGCUCAGUUCCAGAAUCUGCAAAUAUAUCAACUUAUUAUUUAAAUCCAGACAGUUUGCAAAGAUCCAAAGUUCAUUUAUUCACAAAACUUAAAUUUCCUUUUAUAUGCCUAUUAUUAUUCACCUGUUUAUAUUGAUCACCAACUUACAAUCAAAAUCAAAUCAUUCAACCUCCCAAAUGAUACAUCAUCCAUAAGAAUUCAAGCCUCGGUACCAUGUAGGUCAAGGAAUAUUGCGCCAUAGCACAAAUUAUCAGGCACCGGAAUGAGUAACUGCUGUGCUGUUCAUAUAACCAGCCCUGUCAUGGGUUUAUGGUGAAUAAGUAUGUAAAACAACCCAAGUUUUUGGCCAUUCAUGAAU
Molecule: long non-coding RNA, 66787 nt
Filed under: Citrus x clementina
Lineage: Eukaryota; Viridiplantae; Streptophyta; Magnoliopsida; Sapindales; Rutaceae
Description: Citrus clementina (C. clementina) long non-coding RNA (CCLE_LNC005538)
Source: RNAcentral